AUUAACCUCAACAACUUUGUGAUUCUUUCUUCUUUCCAAAAGAAUAAAGAUUCGAACAUUUCGCCUCUAUAUAAUUUUAACAAGAAGGUAUUGGAUCCGGAUCUAACGAUCCAAAGCGUCCAUCUAUGACCAACUCGUAAUUUAUGUUUUAGAGGUAUCACAACUUUAGUUGGGAUUAGUCACUACCUUGCAACCUUUUGGGUUUUUAAGCAUCAUUAUUUUCUAAACAGUUAACACUACCAUAUUAUCUCUACUAUAGAGAUAAUUAAUUAGAUUACCAUAAUCCAAUCAUUGAUUAAUAAAGAACAUUGUUUUGUCAAACAAAACAUUUAUCCAUUUCACAUAGUGACGGAAUUUAGUUCCUUAAAAUUUGGAAUAUAAAGACAAUCUUUGUUUUUCCAAUUUCUUUGGUAGUUCAUAUGAGGAAGUAAGUACCAUCUGCUUUCGCAGAGAUCUACAUUUGAUUCACGUUUCGAAUGUGAAGUACUUUCUCUUCUUUCAUUAAUCUUCUACUUCUUAUUAGUCACACUUUUCCAACGAUUGUAAAACAUAGUUACUAAUACGGAAUCAAGCAUUCAAGUAGAAGAACCAACUGUUUUGAACUAUUCAAGAACAAUUUACAACACCUUCGAAAGGUGUGUUCUUGACACUUACAAGACAUUUCUUGUAAACACCCUUUCCAAUGUCCAUCCUUUCAUAAAGAAAGUUUGUUCCCUUGGAGUUAAUUUAAUCUUCUUCAUUUGACUUCUCCUUUGACUAUAAUAGUCAUGGUCCCUAAACUCCCACUAUCUCUCUUGAAACUUAUUUCAAUUGUGUUUAUACACAUCAAACAUUUUGGAGAGCAUGUGGUUAUUGUUCAUUUAUAUAGUUUACAAUAAACUUAAUGAACCAUAAGGAUAGGGACACAAAGGUGAAGUCCUUGCCUAGUUUCCGUCUCAUUAAGUGGUUUAUCACUUCAACACUUAAUGAUUCAAAAUCAUUAUAAGUCCAUGUUAAUGGACUAUUUUUGUCAACCAACCAUUAUGUUCUAAACAUAAUUACAAACCUUCAAGAGUUGUACAAGGCAACUCUCAUUUCUUCAUACAACAAUUUGUAAGUGAAGAAUCAUGGCACAUAAAGUGUCCAUGCCUUUGUGCUUUCUUCUCAAGUUCUUUGUUCAUUUAACAAAGAAACAAGCACUAGUGUUUGCAUUGACUAAGGGUUGUUCAAAGCAACUAUUAUUUCUUCAUACAACAAUUUGUAAGUGAAGAACUAAUAACACUAAAAGUGUCCUUGUCAUUAUGCUAAUCUUCGUAAGUUCCUUUGUUCAUUUAACAAAGGAUUAAGCAUUGGUUGUUUGUGUUGUCCUCUUCAUGAUAGACUUAUCUAACAUGUUCUUUCAAUGAUACAUUACCAAUAGAACAAUUUUGAGGAUGAGACUACUUAGGUACAUAUACAAUCCAUUUAAGACAAUCUUUGGGAUUGUGUUACCAAGUCCGGAAACUAAAGCAUUCGGCUUUUCUUUGUCAAGUUUUGGAUAGCGUUUGCAAAUAUAUUGGUAAACAAAUACAUAACGAAUAUAAAUUGAUUGAUUUUAAGCCAUCUGAUUCGGGUCUUUAAAUCAAAUAGCACCACCCACUAUUUUUGGCAAAUUCCAUAUCCCUCAUUGGAAUUCGAGAGUUUUGGAGGAAACUCUUAGUAGGUUAUGGGAGGCUCACUAUUACCAAGCCCACCUCAGAAGAACUCCAUAUUGGCUAGCAACAAUAAUAAUGAGAUAGUACGCUUACUCAUUUGCAACUAAUGCAAGUACCCAUCUUAUUUGGCCUCUAGAGAAUGAUGCCUCAGAAGAACUCCAUAUUGGCACCAUUGCACUUAGUUAAGUCAUUCCCACCAUGCUAGUUCAAGUAGGGGUUCAAGAAUGGCCUCAGAAGAACUCCAUAUUGGCCAUACUCGUUGCCUACUUUCACUUCAUCAUAUGUUUAUAGGCUUCUCCUGAAUGUAAGCACAUACUUUGCAACCCCAGAACUGGACGAAUACAUUGUAUGAGUCACAAACGAUUGAAGCCUACCACGGUGGAAGGCCACGAAAGAAUGUUCAAAGCACUCUCAGGCUUUUCAACUUAAUAUUGGUUUGGUUGAGGGUUUUAGGUCUCAUCACAUAUAAAUAUUCAUUUUAAUCUCUAUUAAAACUAUUUUGGUCCUAUUACAACUAUUGGUCCAUCUCAUUGUUUUAGUUGUAUAUAAUACUCCCACUAUGCUUAUAAAACGGUUUUUAAAGCAAGAGUAUAUGAUACUACUAACAUAACCUUUGCAUUCAUUUGAUGGACUAUAUAGUUGCCUUAGGGCCUUAGGAUGACUAUGAACCUUUGUUUAGAUUCAACACGAGCCUUGUGUUGAAUCUCGGUCUAGGGAUGGUGAUUGAUUUUAGUUACGCGUUUAAUCACAUUAAGGCGUGUUGUCUUAGGGGCGUUGGACCCAACUACUUCAUUUUCAUGCAUAUCAAAUAAAGCAAGAAAGAAGUACUUCAAAGUAAAGGUGAGCUUAUGCUCAUUACAACAUUUGCAUAAAACAAAUUACUUUAAAGUAAAGAAGAGCUUAUGCCCUUUUACAACAUUUGAUCAAAUCAAAUUACAACCAAAAAUUAAUCUACACAUUCCCAUGGUUCAAACAAAUUUGAAACGGCCUAUCACAUAGCUCAAUUAUAUUAGGCUUAGGUUCAUAAUCACCCUUUAAUUAAUUAACACUUUAACUAAUUAAAUUGAAUGCAACAUUUUCAUUUGGUUUUUGUAUCCAUAAAAUUGAUUUAAAUGGAGCUAAACAAAAUGAAAAUCCAAUUCUCAUUUAAAGAGACAAAACAAUUUUGUUCUCUACUUAAUUUGGGCCAAUAUGCAAUAACCACAACUUUUGGGCCAUAAAGCAAUUAACCUCAACUUUUGGGCUAUAUUGCAAAACUUUUGGGGUCACACUUUGUAAAGACACAAAAGUCCACUACUUCAUGUAAUUACAUUAGAACCCAAAAUUUAAUCAAUGCAAAAACUUCAUUAAAGGAUCAAAACAAUUUGUCCUUUAGCGUUUUUGGACCUAAACGUAAAAACGUAAACUUUUGGGCCAAAGUGCAAAUACACAAAAGUAUCAAAACUUUAUGUAAUUGCAUAAAAGCCCCAAAAGUACCCCACUUGCAAGGGUGGCCGGUUUUGGAAGAGGAUAGAGUGAUGUGUGUGUUGAUUUGUGAGUUUUAGACAUAAAGCAUGCAAGUGGUGCAAGUGGUGUGUGUGAAAGGAAAUUAAUCCUUACACACCCAUCACCAUUUCCAUCACCCUUCAAAUAAAUAUCUUAUGCAAUAAAUCAUUUGAAAAACAUAAAACACAAACUUUAUGAAAUAAAUCAAAACUUUGAAUCAAAACACAAACCUUUUUGUUCUUGGCAAAAAUGUCAAGAACAAUGAAGAACACUCAUGAAAAAACUCAAAAUUUUCCAUGAACAUUUUUCACCUAAAAACAUUCCAAAACCAUUCAAACUUUAGGGAAAUAACAUCUAACCAAACUAGGGUACAUAGGGGUUCCAAAAGUCACUUGAAAACACUUUUAACAAGUCAAACAAGAACCCAAAAAUCCACCCUUUGGAUUUGGCCGAAAAUCCCCAAAGUCAUGGCACCAAAUUUUAGCUCCAAUAUUCAUGCUCAUAUGAACUACAUCUACAACAUUUGAGAUGGCAAAUUUUCUAACAAAAUUUACAUUCAAAGAAACAAGAAUAAAGCUUGUAACAUAUUACAACUUUUAAAUCACAAACUAUGAACUACAAAACCCAAAAGGAUUCACCAACUACUAGACCUCGGCUCUGAUACCACUUGAAGGAAAAUUUUGUGAAAACAUGUUCAUUUAAGCAACAUCAAAUAGCAUGCAAUUAACAAUUAAAGGCGGAAUCAUGCUAGCAUGCACUUAAAAACAAAACAUUAACCAUGAAAUUCAAAGCCUAGUAGAUUGGUGAACCAAGAAUCAACUCAAAACAAAGUGAGUUGAGAUUUAUACCUUUGUAGAUUCCUCUUUGCAUAAGCAAAGGCUAAUCACCCAAAGAGAGGGUCUUCAUUCCUUGCAUCUUAAAUCUAUAUUUUUGGAUGGAAGAAUAGGUUUCUCCAAGUUCCCAAAGUAGGGAACCUCUAAGUCUCUUCACCAAGGAGAGAUUGGAGAAGAAAUGAGUGACCUUGGAGUAGUGGGAUUGCAAGAUGCACCCCCCCAAGGGGCCGGCCUCUUUAGAGAGAAAUGGAGAGACAUGUUCUCUCCAAUUUUCUCCAAAACAAACCCUUAAUGAAUUUUAGCUAUAAAGUCAUAUUUAUACCUUUAUUCAUUUGAGUGGCAAACUUGUAAAUAAAUCCAAGUUCACUACCCUAAAACAUCAUGGCCGGCCAUUGGGAUAUUAUUGGGCUAUUAUGCCCUUGUGAAUCUUUAUUCAUUAAGUUGUCAUACAACCUAAGUCAAUGGGCUUGACGUUCGAAGCCCAUUGGGCCUAAACGUCCAAAACUAUCCCGAGGUCUUUUAACGAACUUAUUCGUUUGAUUAAUUAACAUAUUAAUUAAUCCUUGCCAUAAAUAAAUGAUUAAACCAUUUAAUCAUUCUUACUCAUCUCCGUUUAAUCUCCAAUCUCCACCUCUUAUGGUGUGCGAUCCAUUAGGUUCCUUUUAGCGAGGCAGUGGGCGAUUAAAACCAUUUCAAAUCGAUUGUGAAUUGAAACUUACUUUCAAUUCUCCCUUUAGUGUUUAUACACGUUUAGGGCUUCCACAAACCAUGAGUGACACCUUGCAGCAUAUCAUGGUUACCCAAGCUAAUCAGAAGAGGUAGAGAAAACCUAUUCAGUUUGGGAUUACAAAUGCAAUACGGUCUUUCUCUAAUAUACAAUACUCUUGACCACAUUGUUUGGUUUGAUAGUUUAUUUAUUCAUGUCUACUAUCCAAUGUGAUUCGUGUGCUUAUAUGAUUUCCUUGAAUGUGAUUUAGAACGACUUUUCUAAAUCUCAUUCAUACUCUGGCCAGAGAUUCUAAAUCAUAUCAUAGAGUAUUCUCCCUCAAACAGUUUGAAGGUUAGAGAUCCCUUGUUGCGCAUUCACUUGCCUCCAUGGCUAAGUGGCUUAACCCCAACGAUGCCGUGGACACCCCGAUGGGGUGACUUUGACAUAAUCAAAGAUCAAGGACUUAACCACAAGACAACUGUGAUGCCUCAGGUCAAAGGACUAAUUUGCAUUAUCCCAAACAUGAGUUCUCAUGUGACAUGAGUAUGAGAACUCUUCGUUGAUCAUGUUCAGUGAACUCAUUCUCUACUGAGCACCUACGUACUUGUCUUGAUGUCACACACACCAAUGACUCGAGACUAGUCACUCUCCCUGAGAGAAGACAUAGCACGUACCGAUCUUAACGGACUGUCAAUGCCCAAUUGGCAAUCCUAUGAUCAGGAACAUUUAGGAUGUGUCUACGAAAGAAUGGUCUCAUGAAUCUAACUUCAUUAGAUUACAUUCUUCCAAUCACAUAUUCCUUGGACUUUAUCGUUUAAGCAUAUAACAUUUAUAUGAGACGGCUCAAACAAUAAUCUUUGCCCUUUAUAGUUAAACUAGAUAAGUUUAACAUGUAAAAUGUCCGUAAAGUAUCAUCAUAUGAUUGGCUUUAGGGCACAUUUCCAACAAAAGUUUCCCUCCCGUUCUGGAAAUCGACUCGGUCGUCACGGAUUCGAGUCCCUGCAAAUGGUGUUUGGGACACAACUCACCCCUCAUUCUGACAACCACGAUGACGAAGCCAAAAUCGAAAACCCGACCGUCUCGGACCUGUUUUCAGCGCUGAGAGCGACGUCUCGGUUAGAGGAUUUUAGCCGAGUUAAACAAGGAUUAUCGGCGAGAUAAGCGAAAUUAAGGUGAGAAAUCGAGAAACAGAGGAACGAGAACGCGCUGCUCGACAAGAAGCACGAGUUCGAGUGGCUCAGAAGCUCAGAGCAGAGGAGGAGCUCAGGUUUAAGCUCUUAUCGAUCAAGGUGGAGACGAUGAAUGAAAAGAACCGUGGCGAGGGUGGAGAGGUAAUUUUGGAGCUCUGGACGCAGAACGAGGAGCUGGAGCACCGCAUUGAGUGGCUGGAGAAGAGCGAUAAGACAUCGAGGAAGAGGGGUUUUGAGUAACAACAUCCAGAGAAGAAGGAGUGAUCGGUUGGUUGCGAUUGGUGGUGAUACUGCUGCUAACAAUGAUAGCACUGAACACAAUCAUGAUGUUAGAAAAAGAAAAAGGAGGAUGGGCUAAACGUGGGCUGUACUAGUUGUUGAGUGAAUAUUUCAGAAAACGAAAAAGGGAAGAAAUGAAAAGAAAAAGGUGCAUAGACAGAACAAUGUCAUUCAGCGGCCGCUUUCGGUCAUGAUUGUGCUCACUGUCGCCUGGCAAGCCUUUGGGUUGGAAUCAAUCAUAAUGUUAGGAAAAAAAAAAAGAGGGAGAAAAAUAAUAGAAAAAGAAAAAGGAGGAAGAUAAAGAGAAAUCAUGACCAGGCUGCACAUAUUUGUGGAUGAACUUUCCGGAAAAAAUGGGUGCGGUAAAGGCAAGCCAUCAGCAGAUGCCAUCAACUUUUGAAAAAGAAAACUUUCAUCAUGCAUGUUCCCACUUUUCUGAAUAAGCCACUGGAAUACACACAUGGAAAAAGAUCUGCAACAACCCAUUACGUAGUAGGUGCAAUACACAACAACGAUCUUGUUGGAAAUGUGCCCUAAAACCAAUCAUAUGAUGAUACUUUACGGACAUUUCACAAAGUUAAACUAAUGUAGUUUAAAUAUAAAGGGCAAAGAUUAUUGUUUGAGCCGUCUCAUAUAAAUGUUAUAUGCUUAAACGAUAAGUCCAAGGAAUAUGUGAUUGGGAGAAUGCAAUCUAAAGAAGUUAGAUUCAUGAGACCAUUUUUUCGUAGACACAUCCUAAACGUUCCUGAUCAUAGGAUUGCCAAUUGGGCAUUGACAGUCCGUUAAGAUCAGUACGUGCUAUGUCUUCUCUCAGGGAGAGUGACUAGUCUCGAGUCAUUGGUGUGUGUGACAUCAAGACAAGUACGUAGGUGCUCAAUAGAGAAUGAGUUCACUGAACACGAUCAACGAAGAGUUCUCAUAUUCAUGUCACAUGAGAACUCAUGGUUGGGAUAAUGCAAAGUAGUCCUUUGACCUAAGGCAUCACAGUUGUCUUAUGGUUAAGUCCUUGAUCUUUGAUUAUGUCAAAGUCACCCCAUCCGCGGGUGUCCACGACAUCGUUGGAGUUAAGCCACUUAGCCAUGGAGGCAAUUGAAUGCGCAACAUGGGAUCUCUAACCUUCAAAUCGUUUGGGGGAGAAUACUCUAUGAUAUGAUUGAAAAUCUCUGAUCAGAGUAUGAAUGAGAUUUAGGAAGGCGUUCCAAAUCACAUUCAAGGUAAUCAUAUAAGUAAACGAAUCACAUUGGAUAGUAGACAUGAAUAAACUAUCAAACCAAACAAUGUGGUCAAGAGUAUUGUAUUAGAGAAAGACCGUAUUGCAUUUGUAAUCUUAAACUGAAUAGGUUCUCCACCUCUUCUGAUUAGCUUGGGUAACCAUGAUAUGCUGCUAGGUGUCACUCAUGGUUUGUGGAAGCCCUAAACGUGUAUAAUCACUAAAGGGAGAAUUGAAAGUAAGUUUCAAUUCAUAAUCGAUUUGAAAGAGUUCUAAUCGCCCACUGCCUCGCUAAAAGGAACCUAAUGGAUCGUACACCGUGUAAGGUGGAGAUUGAAGAAACAAUGGAGAUGAGUAAGAAUAAUUAAAUGGUUUAAUUAUUUAUGGCAAGGAUUAAUUAAUAUGUUAAUUAAUCAAACGAAUAAGUUCGUUAAAGACCUCGGGAUAGUUUUGGACCUUAAGGCCCAAUGGGCUUCGAACGUCAAAGCCCAUGGACUUAAGUUGUAUGACAACUUAAUGAAUAAAGAUUCACAAGGGCCCAAAAGCCCAAAUCCCUUAAAGUGGCCGGCCAUGUUAGAAGAAUAGCUUUUUGGUUCUUUAGGUCACUUAUUUGAAGGGACUAUAUAAAGGACUUUAUAGCCUAAAUUCAUUAAGGGUUUCUUUUGGAGAAAAUUGGAGAGAACAUGUCUCUCCCUUUCUCUCUAAAGAGGCCGGCCCCCUUGGAGGGAUUAGCUAGCAAUACUACUCCUCCAAGGUCACUCAUUUCUUAUCCAAUCUAACCUUGGUGAAGAUACUUAGAGGUUCUCUAUUUUGGGAACUUGGAGAAACCUAUUCUUCCAUCCAAAUCCAUAGAUUUAAGAAGCAAGGAAUGAAGGCCCUCUCUUUGGGUGAUUAGCCUUUGCUUAUGCAAAGAGGAAUCUACAAAGGUAUAAAUUUCAACUCCCUUUGUUUUGAGUUGAGUCUUGGUUCACCAAUCUACUAGGCUUUGAAUUUCAUGGUUGAUGUUUUGUUUUUGAGUGCAUGCAAGCAUGAUUCCGCCUUUAAUUGUUAAUUGCAUGCUAUAUGAUGUUGCUCAAAUGAACAUGUUUUCACAAAAUCUUCCUUCAGAUCUACAACUAUCGAAACCUUUGUUUUGAAUGAUCUAAUUUAUUUGUAUUAUCUUUCGGAGACAUCUGUAUAACCCCAUCAGAGGGUAAAAAAAAAAAAAAAAAAAACGGCAAGCCCAAAAUAAUGGGCUAGAAUGUUAUGUGGAGGGCGAAGGCACAUAUGCCCAAAAGAGUCAGGCCCUCUAUUAUCACCAACCAGGUGAUCAAAAGUACGUCCAGUACUACAAAAAAUUAUUCGGCAACCUGCCCCUAUUAUCACCAACCAGGUGAUCAAAAGUAAGUCCAGUACUUCAAAAUUAUUCGGUAGCCUGCUGCUAUUAUCACCAACCAGGUGAUCAAAAGUACGUCCAGUACUACAAAAAAUUAUUCAGCAGCCUGCCGCGAUUAUCACCAACCAGGUGAUCAAAAGUACAUCCAGUACUCCAAAAUUAUUCGGCAGCCUGCCGCUAUUAUCACCAACCAGGUGAUCAAAAGUACGUCCAGUACUCCAAAAUUAUACAUGAGCAUCACUCAUGUCAAUCAUACAUAAACUUGGGGGACUACUGUUUGUACCAUACUUGAGCACCGCCUCAUAUCGAGUAUUAGUUGAAGACGACAUCUAGUUAUUUCGGCCCACACAUGGACUAAAUUUGAAGUCUCUAGCCAAAAGACUCUCUUGACUGAAGACUUGGGAGACUACUGUUUGUACCAUACUUAGGGCCUCCGUAUUUAGAUCUCGUAUAAAUACUCGGCGGACUCAAAUGUAAUUAUGUAAUAAAUGAAGGGGCAAAUAUGUAAAAUGGGGAGGAGCCCUUAGUUUAUAAAAGGGCCUCCUCACCCUCACAAUCGAAAGGCUCUCACCCUCAUAAUUCUCUCACAAACAGAGAAAUACAAUAUCAGUGUGGACGUAGCCUAAACAUUAGGGUGAACCACAAUACAUCUUGUGUUCUUUACUUUCUUGCAGAUUUACGGUCGGAUUUACGUUGUUCCAAGACCCCUCCAGUUUUGUGCAUCAUUAGAACCAAAUACGGAUUUAAAAAUAUCAAAAUCUGCAUGAAAAAAGCAACGUCGGCCCACUGGCCACACACUGCCGUAGGUGCCAGUUUCUGAUGAACGGAAACCCAAUUUUCUGACUAACUCUAAAAAUUACCAAAUUUUAUAAGGUUGUAGAGUUAAAUGAGAGGAACAACUUUCAUACCUGGGCCGAAGUCCAAUUCGGCCGAGAAAAGCCCCAAAAUUUCACUCAAUUCUGCCGGAACCCUAGAAUUUGGGUGUCCUCAAUUCGUCACCUUCGGUGGCCCACCGCCCAAACCAAGGCUUGGGACAUGUUCCUGGGUGGUGGUCGACUAUUGUGGCUUCACAAACAAGAGAUCCAAACACAGACCCAUCACAACCACCGGUGCGGGUUUCACUAAAUUAAAGCAUAUUUCCAUCGGAAUUGGAAUGGAAUUGGUGAAGGGAUCGAAUGGUGUUGAAAGGAGGGUUAUUUUAGCACCAUUCUCGUCAUCAAUGGUGACCGAAAUUGGAAACAAUGGUUGGGUCGGGUCGACGGGUUGAAGGAAGGUCCGGUUCCUUCCUCUCUCCUCUUCUCUCCUUUCCCUCAUUUCCUCCUUCCUCAUUGGUCCAUGUCUUUCCCUUUCUCUCCUUCCCUUUCCAUCAUAGCCACACACGUGGCUUCAUAGAUCCUUGCUCCAGCAAAUCUAGAGUCUUCCAGAUAUUGGUCAAAUGACCAUUUUACCCUAAACUUCUAUCGUUAAUAACUUCUUCAUUAUUACUCCGUUUCACGAACGGUUUUCGCCUACACACUCGUAGGAUCAUCCUCUAUCCAAAUAUGUCAAGAAAUCUGAUAAAAUACAUCCUCAAAUAAUUACGUUAAUCUUUUGAACUUAACGAUAAAUUUCACAACAUAAUUUAUAAUAAUUUCCUGAAACAUGACUUUAAAAGUUCUCAAUUCAAUUUUUCAUACCCAUAAAUCGAUUUAUUUUCGAUUUUUCUCUGCAAAUUCAUAUAUUUAAAUUUUCAGGGCAUUACAAGUUGACUUCCUCAACCUCUACAUGAUACUGAAUCUACUUGAGUAUUUACACACUCAAGGGGAAGUGUUAUAACCUUCUUGUUUAAGUGUGAUUGUGUAAAUCCUAUAUUAGAUUUGAUUCUAGUUAUUCUUUCCUAUUAGUACUUGUAUUCCUUGGAGGAGAAGGAUUUCUUCUCCCUCUUAUUACUAUAAAUAAAGGCACAUGGGGAAUAACAAGAUCCUCUACACAACCUUACAAACACAUCUCCCUCUCUAUUCUCUCUGUGCUGCCGACCCCCUUCCCCUAUCAGUUAAAUAUAGGCCACAACAUUUGUAAGUUUUUAAAAUUUUAUUAUUUUUAAGUGAGGAAUCAUUUCAACCAAGACAAAAGAUAGGGUGACCUGGCUGACAACCAUUUCUCCAAGGAUCGAAAUCCUCCUAAAGAUAGGUAAUUUCAAUUUUCAUCCUUAAGGGGUGGAUGUGAAAGUGAAUUGAAACGUCAGGGAUUAGGUAAUGUUUCAACCCUGAGGGAUUUUUGUGAAAAACAAGAAACCUCAAGGGGUGUUAGUAUAAUUAACCCGAUAAUUUCCUAAAAAUUACAUAUGGGCAUCAUAUUGCAACCGCAAUUCAAAGGCGCAUACUCAGACGGAAACUAAGUAGCAAGCGACACCUAGUAAGAAGUGGAGAACAAUUAGCUCAUAAGACAAUAUCACAAGGUGCCCUUCAAAAGCAACACUGACACGAAAACCUUUCCUCAUUCAAUUUAUCCGAACAGAUCAUUUUCCUUGGAACUCACUGUUUCUUAUGAAGUAGAAUAAUUUAUGCAAAGCACCUGAAGAAGGAACUGGAUCUAAAAGUACAAAUAUCCGAAAAAGAACAAACUAAUUUUGCUCCUUUGGUCAAGUAGAGGCCGAGGCCAGCUCUUUGUCUUAAGUAAAAAAAGGAAUAGGUUUCGUUGGGGCUGGCAAGCGGCCAGAGCCAUCAACUUCAUCCUUCUGUUUCAGGGGAGGUCUAGCUGCUUUCGGCAAUAACCUGCCUUUCUUAUCAACCACUCGGGUUUGAGCAAUGCUCGGAAGCCCAACUUGUUGUAAUACACUCUUCUAACAGACCCACCUGCAGCUUCAACAGCUUCCUUUGACCUUACAGUGACACGUGAUACCUGUAAACCUCUCAUAAGUCCAUUUUCGAGUUGCAUGCAACACAAAGAGGAAUGAAACCCGAAGUCUGAUCUAUAUGCAUUUACUCCAUAUCCAUGUGAAAAAUAAUUAGCAUAGGAAAGUAUCUGCCAUCAGUAAAUAUUAAUGGAUUAAUAGUUCAUUUAUAAACUAAUUUCAGAUUUCUAUGCUAAAGUUAGUUAUGUAAUAUUUGUUCAAAGAUGUUUAUUCGAAAUAAGUACCUUGCUGACAGCAUUUCGAGCCAUCACUAAACUACCACUAAUGAACAUGAUCAAUAUUUUCCAGUGUUUUUAAUUGAUAAAAUUUAACGGAGAUCAAAGGUAAUGUUACUACACACUACAAAAACGAAGUAAAUUAUGACAUCAGCAAACCAUUGGACUAGCAGUAAUGUACAUAUCAUAGUUAACUGAUAUCGCCAUUCCUUGGUCCAGAAAACAGAAUUGAAGUGGUGAAACACUCUCAUCCAGUGGUGAUAUCAUCAUAUGAUCCAGCUCUGAAGAGAAAAAAACAUUUUUGAGGUGAAGGCAGCAAUUUUAAAUCUAGGACAGUGAAGGGGGUAAAGCAAGACAGGGGUACCCACAUAACACAUAAGUCCAUGUCAUGUACAAUGCCUAGAUGAAUACACAUACCUCCAGAUGAAUUGGCCAUUGGAUCUGUUCAGCACCCCGUCCCAUCAAUCGUGUGGAUGCAAAUUUUCUCCUCCUCGAUCUUGGACGAUUUUGCACCUACAAAACAACUAGCACCUUAUGUUAAGGCCAAAAGCCUCACGCGUCCACGAUGAAUGAGGGGGGCUUUGGCCGAAGAACCUCCGAUGCCAAAGUUAGAAAUUUAGAGAGAAAUAGUGUUUAGAGUAUUUGGGAUUUUUUGCAAGAGGUUUGGAAUGAGUGUUUGGUAAAAAUGGGUGACUAUUUAUAGGACUAGGUUUGUCCACUUUUCUAAGAAAGUGGCCGGCCACUUUGUCUAUUUUUUGGUGAGUUUGUGGUUUAAUUAGCCACUUUAUUGGCUAAUAAAAUAUGAUAGAAAUAAAUGGGGAGUUACCAAAUUGAAUGACUAGCUUUAUUUGGGUAAUAAGGUGGAGAAAAUCAGAAAAGGUAUGGAGCAAAGGGAGGUGGCCGGUUUUGUCUACUAAUUUGGGUCACUUUAUUGACAAUUAGGGGAUUAAUUGAGUUGAUCCCCUAAUUAAUCAAUUAUUUAUGAUUUUAAGGGAUGAUUUUAGGAGAUAUGGGAAGAAUAUAUUAUUUAGAUAAUUAAUUAACUAAAUAAUAUAUUAAAGAAAUUAAGUUUCGGAAAUAAUUACCUAAAAUGAGAUAGUUUGGAAUUGGUUACCUCUUUUGGAGCAUUUUUUAAUUGGUGGAGGAUGAUUACCCACUACUUGCGCGUAGGAAUCCCGUUAUACCUCAAGGGUAUUUUUGUCUUCUUUUGUCCCAAAGUCCACGUGUCACUUUGUGAUCGUUUUUGGCUCCACAAAUCGCACUCCAUCUUCAAUCUGCUUCCCUAUUGCCCCUGUAUCCUAUGGUAACAAUAAUUACCAGAAUGAACAAACGUUGACGUAGGAAAUAGUGCAAUAGGCUGAGAAGAAAUUUACUGAACCUUGAGCGUUUUCAUUGUAAUCAACUCAGACGAAUCAAUCUUUCCUGCGUUUAUAAGUGUGGCAAUUUUUCCUAAUCCUACAGGCUGCCACGACGACAUGUACACAGGUCAGAAAAUAAAUUGGAAAUAAAAGUGAUGUUUAAUAGCCCCCAGAAAUAUAAAACAAAAGGCUUAAACAGAUUAAAAGUCAAUUAAAAGGAAUGAUAAAAUCAGUUUGCUAUGUAUAACCAAAACAAUCCGCCAAAGAAAAUCUAUAACCAAAACAUACGAAGCAUAAUGGUUUCACGCAUUGAGGAACCCUUAUGCAUGUAUGUAUGUACGUAUAACAGUACACACUAUUCAAGCAUAGAUUCAUAACAAUAUCAGGGUAUCAUGAAACUCAUAGACCUAGUUCAUUUGCCCAAUAUUUUAGCAAUGAUUCAGAGCAAACUCCAAGGAUUAAAAAAGCAUAGAGACUCAAGAACCGCCAAGUCAUUUCUACAAGAACUGAAUUAUUUCCCACUACUGAUCUCUGCAUUGCAAACCAAGUUAGGUUGGAAGUUGGAACAGAAACUUUAUCCAUCCACCUCACUUCAAGCAGAACAUUCGGCAGUAUGAUUUGCGGUAGAUAUUUAGAAUUUUGGAUACGGAUAGUUUAUGGAAUUUUCAAUAUCAAUGGACACAUGUUUUCUUAAAAAUGAAUAUUAAAAUGGUUAAAUGGCAGGACAAUUGAAAGGAGCAAACUGAAUUGCAAACUGAAUUGGUUUCGAAUGAAUUCAAUUGAUAAACUUUACAGUAAUAUAUACAUCAGUAGGUCAACCAAUCAACCCUACAUUAAUACCUACAAAAUAGCAUCCCUAUUUUGAUGGGAUUUGACAUAAACCUUAUUAGGUAAAUAUAUUACAUGAUAUUUCUCAAUACUCCCCCUCAAGUUGGAGAGUGAAUAUUAUGAACUCCCAACUUGUCACGUAGUGUCGCAAAUUGAUCUUUUCCCAAGGCUUUUGUAAAUAAAUUUGCUAACUGGAAACGAGUAGGCACAUGUGAGGGAAUAAUCAUUCCAGCUUGCAGUUUUUCUCGAACGAUGUGACAAUCAAUUUCAAUAUGCUUUGUAUGCUCGUGAAAAACAGGAUUAGCUGCUAUAUGUAGGGCAGCUUGAUUAUCACAAAAUAAUGAUGUGGGAGCCUUUUGCAGAACCUUUAAAUCCUGCAAUAUAUAGCGUAGCCAAGUUAACUCUAAACAUGUGUUGGCCAUAGCUCGAUAUUCGGCUUCUGCAGAUGAUCGAGAAACAUUGUCUUGUUUCUUGGAUUUCCAUGAGAUGAGAGAAUUUCCAAGAAAAACACAAUAUCCUGUAACUGACCUUCUUGUGGCAUGACAAGCUCCCCAAUUGGAAUCACAAAAAGCUUUUAACUCAAGAUUGUCAGAGACAGGAAAUAAUAAAACUUGACCAGGAGUACCUUUGAUGUACCUUAGAAUUCGUAAAGCUGCAUCCCAAUGAGGCUUGCGAGGCUCAUGCAUGAAUUGACUCAACGCGCGAACUGAAAAGACUAUGUCAGGCCUAGUGACAGUAAGAUAAAUCAAUCGUCCGACUAGUCUUCUGUACUUGGUGGGAUCAUCUAACAAUGCUCCGUCAAUGGGAGUGAGUUUCAAAUUUUGUUCUAUUGGAAACUUGUCUGGGCGUGCUCCCAUAAGUCCAGAAUCCUGCAAAAUGUCUAGUGCAUAUUUUCUUUGAAACAUGAAAAUGCCUUUCUGACAACGAGAAAAUUCAAUGCCCAAAAAAUAUUUCAAAUCACCAAGAUCUUUGAUGCGGAAGCGUGAGAAGAAAUGUUUUCAGACGUUCCAUCUCUUGUAGAUCAUUCCCUAUAAGAAGUAUGUCAUCCACAUAGAUAAGGACUGCAGUAAAUGAAGUACCUUGAGCCUUGGUAAAAAGAGAAUAAUCAGCUUUUGACUGUUGGUAACCUGCUUUCUGAAUGGUAACUGAAAAAGUCGAAAACCAGUUUCUAGAGGCCUGCUUGAGUCCAUAUAGAGAUUUGUUGAGCUGAUGGACGGGAAGGUGUACAAGCUGGCGGUAAGGGUGGGCUAUCAGCAAGACCGGGCAAGUGGGGGUGUAGGAAGGGCCCCCCGUUGUCAUGUAUGGGAAGGGUCAGAGGUGAUGAAGGUAGAGACUGGAAAGGGAAGAUAUUUUCAGUAAAUUUGACGUCACGGUUGACAAAGAAUUUUUUAGUGUCUAAAUCACAUAGUUUAUAACCUUUUUGACCAGUGGGGUACCCAACAAAGACACAUUGUUUUGCACGAGGAUCGAAUUUAUGAGUAGGGUGAACAACAGUAGCAAAACACAAACAACCAAAAACUUUCAAGUGGUCAAAAGAUGGCGGACGGUUAUAUAAUAACUCAAAAGGGGAUUUAUUAGAUAACAAAGGAGAUGGUAAUCGGUUAAUAAGAUAGACAGCGGUGGAUACACACUCACCCCAAAAUGAAAGGGGUACCUGAGAUUGGAAACGUAAGCUACGUGCAACGGUGAGAAUGUGAUGAUGCUUACGUUCGACAACGCCAUUUUGUUGUGGAGUGUAAACACAUGUGCGUUGAUAUUCAAUGCCAUUGGUUUGAAAAAAAUCUUUCAUGGACAAAAAUUCAGACCCAUUGUCAACUCUUACUACUUUGAUGUUUGCAUGAAAUUGUGUAUGAGCAAAAGUAACAAAAGAUUUUAAAAGGUGUUGAGUUUCAGGUUUAUGUUGCAUCAAAAAAACCCAUGUGCACCUGGUAAAAUCAUUGACAAUGGUAAGAAAAAAAUGAGCUCCCGAAUGUGUGGGAACUUUAUGAGGACCCCAUAUAUCACAAUGUAACAAAUCAAAAGGAGCAUGAGUCGAUAUAGAACUUAAAGGAAAUGGAAGUCUAGUUUGUUUAGUUAUAGGACAAACAUUACAAUUAUUAUCAAAAGAAAAAUUAUUUGAAGGCAAGGAAGGAAAUAUUAAUUUAAGGCGAGAAGGUGAAGGAUGUCCAAGGCGCAGAUGCCACAAAUUGGAGGGAUGAGAAACUUGACAGGAAAGAGGCGUUCGUUGCAACGGGGACAUGUAAUAAAGACCAUCACGUUGCUUACCCGAUCCAAUCAUCUUCCCCGUAGCCAAGUCCUGCAAGACACAGAAAGUGGGAAACAAAAUGGCACAACAAUUUAGAGAAUCAGUGACUUGACUGGCAGACAUGAGAUUUAAGUGAAAAGAAGGAACACAUAAAACAUUAUCUAAAGUAAUAUCUGAAUUGAAUGGUACGGUUCCUGUAGAAGUGAUUUUAGCCAAAGAGCCGGUGGGUAAUUUAACAGUGGCUAGUGGUGAAGAUGUGCUUUUGGAAAAAAAUGAAGAAUCUGAAAUGAUAUGAUUGGUAGCCCCGCUAUCCAAAAUCCAAGGUUUAGUAUAUACAUAAUUAAUGGAUGCAACAGUAAAAGGAGACAGACCUGCUGCAUUCGCAUAAGCACUGCUAUUACCAGAGGUGUUAUUUAAAUUCAUCAUUGACACAACGUGAGCCAAUUGUUGAAGUUGGUCAGCCAAAAGACCUUGCAACGGGUUCGGUGAAGGCUGCGUUUGCAUUUGUGUCUGAGGGGUGACAUGUGAAGAUGGCUGUGGCUGAGGUAUAACGUGCGCUGCAUUUGCAGCAGUCAUGAUGUGACUUGUCGCUGCAUUGGCAGCAGGAGAAGAAGCAAGGGCAGCACAUAGGAGGCUGCUGCCUUGGAGACGCUGCUGUGCCUUGUGAUUUCCUCCAUUCGUGCCAUUUUUAAAUCGGCAUCUGUCUUUAGUGUGGCCUCUUUUAUCACAGAACUUGCAAUGAUAUUUUCGAGUCCUACAAUUAUCAAUUGUAUGUCUGUCUUUAUCACAGUAUUCAUAACGGAUAUUUUUGGAAUUGUUGAAGGAAUGGUUUGAGCAACUCUGAACAGCUGCAGCAAUGGUAAAAUUUUCAUUCAAUCCCGAAGACAUUUUGUUAGAACCAAUCAAAUGUUACUUAUAUAAUAUAUAUAAAAUUUGCACAGUUUAUUGCAAAUAGCAAAUUCAACAAAGAUGUAAUAUAUUAAAAUGUUAACACUUAACGAAAUUGCAUGUAAAUCACAAAUAACUGACUUGAUCGUUGCAGAUAGAGGCUUACAGAGCAAUCUCCUAAGACAGAAAUACGUCCCUACACCAGUGCAGUAGUUCAAAGGACGUCUAUCUUGCAGGAUACAACUAUCUAAUCCAAGUUCUUGCACACGAACUUGGAUUCUUGACGAAUCGGUAGUAUUGUUCUCUGUAAGGAGUAAAAUGAGCGAUUGGAUUGAUCUCUUUCUCGUUUUUGAGCGGACUGCCAUAUAUAUAAUGGCUUAACUUGAACAAACGCAACCGUUCGUCCUUAUCAGUUACAAAACUGACGUAACUGUUCCCUUAGUUUUAUCCUUUCGGAAAAACUGAAUCCAAAAAUUCAAAACGAAAAAAUAAAACUUGUGUUUUUCGUCAAUCCGAGCCCAAGAGCCCCAAGGCCCAAGGCCCAUCUUUGACAUUUAAUAUAUACACCCAAACCUCCAUUUGUAAGGCCCAAGAUCCAUAGCUUUGGCCCAAUUCUUUUCAAACCAUAAAGGAGAGAAAAGACUUAUAAAGUGGACUUCUUGAAAGUGUUUGGGCGAUGUGGGACUAAGUCCCACUCACAAGUUCCAACAAAAGUUCCAACAAUACCCCACAUUUUCUAUUCAAACGCUAGCAACACAUUUGAAUAGAAAAUAAGAUACUAACUAAAUCAGUAACAUUGUUCCAGAGAACUGAGAUAUGAUAUGCAUCGGGAUAGGUGUCUUUUGGACUUGAACCUUCUCGAGUGAGUACUUAUCGGAUUUACCUAAUGAAGCAGUGAGUUUAAUAUCUUGAAUUGAUCAUUGUAAGUAGUAAAUCGAAACAAGAAGUAUCACACAGAUCACAUCUUGACACACUUCAAUUCAUACGGUUGUGUUCAUUUUGGUCGUGAACAUAUCCUGAUUUCAUGAGACCUUUAGAGAAUUGUAGCCAUAUCAAAUCUCAAAGAUGCGACCCCACAUCAAUCUCAUAUAGGUAAUGCUAACUAAGAAUAGCCUGUUCUAUUCAUCUCAACUAUAAGAUGUUAGCAUUAUUAAGAAUAAUGAUUCACCCUUUACGUCGUACAGGUAACACACUGUUUGCCAUCAUAGGAAUAAGUAAGGAUUGUCUGUUUCUUACCUUGACAUUUAAUAUAUACACCCAAACCUCCAUUUGUAAAGCCCAAGAUCCAUAGCUUUGGCCCAAUUCUUUUCAAACCAUAAAGGAGAGAAAAGACUUAUAAAGUGGACUUCUUGAAAGUGUUUGGGCGAUGUGGGACUAAGUCCCACUCACAAGUUCCAACAAAAGUUCCAACACAUUUGUCUCUGUGUUUCGUCCUGAAUAACAAGUGAGUAGGCUUGACGAACUUUAGGCAAAGGUGCCAUCAUGAGAAUAUUACUUCGAACUCCACUAUAGAUAUCAUUGAGACCCAUGAGAAAUUGCAUCAUUCGAUCUUCUUCUAUUUGUUCAUUGUGUGCCUUUGUUUGGUCGCAGAUGAGAAAAGGUUGAUAAGUCUCUAACUCAUCCCAAAGGCCUUUAAGUUUUGUAAAAUAAGCCGAAACUGUCAUGGAACCUUGAGAGAGGGAUGCGAUGGAUUUCUGGAUUUGAUAAAUUGUUGGUGCAUUCUUUUGUGAGAACUAAUCUUUAAAAUCUUCCCAUACCUGUUCAACACUUUUGGCAUGAACAACUCCUUUGGAUAAAUCAGGCUCCAUAGAUUGAGCAAGCCACGUUAAAAUCAUACUAUUACAUUGAUUCCAGAGAGCGUAUUCUUUUGGUUGAUCCUUUGCUGAUGGGGGCUGAAUGGAGCCAUCAACAAAACCAAUUUUGUUUUUGGCUGUGAGAGCAUGAAUCAUGGAUUUGCUCCAAGAUGGAUGGUUGGAUCCAUUCAAUUUUUCUGGGACGAGCAUAUGACCAGGACUUUCUGAAUGAUGGACAUAGACGGGGUUUGAUGAAUCCAUACCGACCUUGCUAUGGGUUUGACUGGUUUGUGGUAGUGAUUGAAGUUCUGUAUCUGACAUGAUGUUUGGAAAAAUAAAAAGGGUUGAAAAAGAAGGCAAUCAAAGUACCAGGACUUUAUGCUCUGGAUACCAUCUUAAAAAUGAAUAUUAAAAUGGUUAAAUGGCAGGACAAUUGAAAGGAGCAAACUGAAUUGCAAACUGAAUUGGUUUCGAAUGAAUUCCAUUGAUAAACUUUACAGUAAUAUAUACAUCAGUAGGUCAACCAAUCAACCCUACAUUAAUACCUACAAAAUAGCAUCCCUAUUUUGAUGGGAUUUGAAACAUGUCAAUGUCAGAAUGAAACUAGAAACUCUCUUCUAUAAAUAGAGAUCACUCUCUCACAAUAUUUCCGAAUGUCAUUUGUACUAAAUCAUUCACUAGUACUCAUUAAAGGAGAGCUUGAACCUAUGUACUUGUGUAAACCCUUCAUAAUUAACGAGAACUCCUCUGCUUCGUGGACGUAGCCAAUCUGGGUGAACCACGUACAUCUUGUGUUUGCUUCCCUGUCACUAUCCAUUUACAUGCUUAUCCACACUAGUGAUCGGAGCAAUCUAGCGAAGGUCACAAACUUAACACUUUCUGUGGUACCAAAAUCCUCGCUGAUUUUGUGCAUCAACAUAUGGCGCCGUCUGUGGGAACGACACUUACUCCCACUCUUUUCAGCUUUGUCAAGCUGGUUUCCACCAUUCGUACACUCUCUUUUGACCAGGCAUCCUUCUCCAACAUGGGGAGCGAAAGAAGCCACAACACACAGAAUUACACCCCUUUUGUACCUAGUGCGAAGCAACGAAAGAAUGAAGGAAAUAGGGUUGCUCUUCAAGCUAAAGUCGAUGAGUUAAAAGCUCAGAACAACAAGAUAGCAAUGAAGAAUGAGGUCCUCCAGGAGCAGUAUGAGAAGCUCUUUGAGACGCUCCACGAAACUAGGCGUACUCAAACACGCGAGCUCGUUACCCCUGUGGACAUCAAUCAUCAUCUAGGUGCCCCCCAACACGGAGGGUCGCCUUCCUUCGACAUGGGUAUCCCUGAUGAGGAGCGAGCUAAUCAUCAAAACAUUGAUUAACAUGAGACUUCUCUUAACCCAGCUGCUUCGACCCGAAGUAGGAGAAGUGGAAGAAGACACCUCCUUACAGAAAGAGUGGAAGGAUCGAAAGCCGUCUUUCGCGACUGUCGAGAUUUCCUAAAGCAACGUCGAGACAAUCCUAUCCAUGUAAGCUCGAAUAUCAAUGACCCAUGGGCCUCUGAAAGACUCGAUUCCCUCCCAUGUCCCAGGCCGGCUACCAAUUUGGGGAAGGGGCAACAAGUCCUAGAGAAACAUGAAGGUAUAGGGGACUCAGAGAUGUUCCGACAGACAUACCUUGGAAGUCAGUAUGGCAAGUGCAGGGAAAAAUCACAUGCCCUUGAUCAAAUCUUCAUACUUCUAAGAGGAUAUGGAGAUUUAUGAAAGAAAGCUCAAGUGGUACAUGACUCCAUUCAAGACCCUCUUGUCCUACAGCUUCUUAAGGAAGUAAACAAGUUGAAGGCCGAACAACAAGCUAAGAUACUUGAUUGGAACCAGCCUAGGCCUGGCCCUCUUACAAGGAGGAUCCUCGACACCCCCUUCAAGUAAAGACAAAUCAAAAGCUUGGUUUACAACUCUAUACUGAAAGAGAGGACCCAAUUGAACACCUUAACCUCUUUGAGUCCACCAUGGCAUAUCGGAUGCACACCGACGAAAAGCGAUGCCUUCUCUUCCCCUUCACCCUCUCUGGAAGAGCUCUAAACUAGUAUUGCCAUCUUCCACCUGAAACAGUAGACUCAUUUAAGGAACUAAGGAAACUGUUUGUUUCUCAACAUAUCUUCCAGACCGAUCGCUUGCAUUCUGCAGAUGACUUGUACACUAUUCGCUAGAAGCCGGACGAGUGACUACGAGAGUAUGCCGGUCGUUUCAGCCAUGAGUAUUCUCGCUGCGCUGAGGCAGAUGACAAGACUGCCUUCAAGGCCUUCACAGCAGGCCUACGUGAUUAUUUCUUCAAGUACAUGAUCAAUGCCAACACUUGGAAAACUUACUCUGAGGCAAUGGCACAUGCUUACAACCAUGCCUCCGCCGAGGUAAGGACAUAUCAAGGGAAACCCCCCACAACCACCCUUUAUCAGCAAGUAGGGAGUGGAAGCCAGAUCCAACCAAAUGAGAAGACUUUGACCUUCCAAACGGCAGCAGUGCCUUCCCUUGCCUUACUUAAUACUUUGCCAAGUCAGCAAACAUAUCAAUCUCAGGGCAAAAGGAAAGAUUUCCAUCCUCACCAUUCUCAUUUUAGUAAAAGGAGUAAGGGACACUACUGCGAUAACCAAGGGUAUCGCUAUGAUAAUCCCGGACCCCAGGCAGUCAACACAGUGGGUCAAACAUGUGUCAGGACAGCCCCUACCCUGAGGUAUGAGGCAUACGCAGCUUUGAACGCCACAUGCGUGGCCAUUUACCCCAGCAUAACACACCUGAUACCGAAGCCAAAGCCGAGGCACCCAGAUUAUAUGCCCACGAAGAACACUAGCACGUUUUGCUGCUACCACGAGCAUAAUGGCCAUGACAGCGAGAAGUGUAUCACCCUUCGUGAUCAUAUUGAAGCUUUAGCACGUGAAGGAAAAAUUGAUCAAUUCCUCCUUCACCCUCCAAGGGGUAACCGUAACCAAUGCCAAGUGAAUGUGAUAUAUUCCAUAAGUGGUGGCACACCCAUAUCUAAAUCUUCCAAUAGGGCCAUGAAAAAUAGUGAACGAGCUUUAAGGUCUGGCCACCAAGUGUUUCACGUGGAAGACAUCCGGGAAGACAAGUAUCAAAAGCCUAAUUGGGAUCCAAUAUGUUUCUACCUUGAGGAAGAAAAAGUUAUCAUCUACCCUCACAACGACCCAUUGAUUGUGGAAGCUCACAUAACCAACUUUGAAGUAUAACGAAUCCUGGUAGACACGGGGCUUCGGUCAAUAUCAUGUUUGUUGAAGCUUUCAAGGCACUUAAUUUAGCUGAACACUUGCUCGAUUGCUCGAUUUCUCCUCUGAUAAGCUUCUCUGGUGAUAUCGUUCAACCUUUGGGGAGCAUACACUUACCUUUCACCAUUGGUACAGGCCCCUACACAGCUACCAUUACCACUAACUUCCUGGUGGUUGAUUGCCAAACGGCAUACAAUGUCAUCUUGGGACGCACAUACCUUAAUGAUCUUAAGGCCAUGGUAUCCAUACAUAUGUUAUUGAUGAAAUUUCCAACCCCCUAUGGCAAUGGUUACAUUAGAGGAGAUCAACUUAGUGCAUGAUCAUGUUACAACACUUCGGUCAAGCAACAACACUUGCAUGUGCCCAAGGAAACCCUUUCUAUACAUGACCAAGUUAUAAAGACCAGCCUAGACGAAGCCAACUUGGAUCUUCACGGUGGCAACAGUCAACCCGACGAUCCUCGAGAUUACUCUUUCACCCAGCAAGCACAACCCGCUGAAGAGUUGGAGAAUGUCUCUAUCUCAAAAGAUUAUCCGGAUCGCAUGGUGAAGAUUGGCACCACCUUGUCACCACCAAUUCAGUUGGCAUUGAUCUCUUUUUUGAAAUAGAACAUUGAGGUUUUCGCCUGGUCAUACGAGGACAUGCCAGACAUCUCUCCCGAUAUCAUCUGUCAUCGCUUAAGUAUUGACCCUAAGACCAAGCCAGUGAGACAAAAGCAAAGAUCAUAUGACGCUAAGCGGUACGAGACAAUAAAGUCAAUUAUCCAACGUGGGUAGUAAAUGUUGUCAUUGUUAAGAAGAAUCCAACCAAGGAAAGUCUCAUGCUCCAAAAGGUCUUGUGGAGAAUGUGUGUCGAUUACACCGACCUAAACAAAGGAUGCCCGAAUGAUAGCUUUCCUCUUCCUCUCAUUGACAGACUUAUAGACCUUAUGGCAAGGUGUGAACUCCUGAGCUUUAUGGAUGCUUACUCAGGAUACAACCAAAUCCUCAUGAACCCUCCGGACCAAGAACACAUAGCCUUCAUUACUGACAGGGGACUAUACUGCUAUAGGCCUAAAUAAUGCAGGAGCGACUUAUCAGAGACUGGUCAAUUCAAUGUUCACCGAACAGAUUGGGAAGAGCAUGAAAGUUUACGUUGAUGAUAUGCUAAUCACGAGCAAACAUGCUGACCAACACAUCACCAACCUAUCUGAAACUUUCAUCAUUCUAAAGAGGUAUCAAAUGAGGUUGAACCUUAACAAAUGUGCCUUCAACGUAGGCUUUGGCAAAUUCUUAGGCUUCAUGAUAAGCUAACGAGGCAUUGAGGCGGCUAAUCCCGAGAAGAUCAAAGCAAUCCUCGACAUGAAGGAACCAGUAACUUCAAAAGACAUCCAAAGCCUUACUGGCAAGGUGGCAGCCUUAACUAGGUUCAUCUCUAAGGCUACAGAUAGAUGUGCUCUUUUCUUCAAAGCACUUAAGGGAAGUAAGAAGUACAUUACAUGGACUGAUAAAUGUGCUGAGGCAUUCAAGAACCUCAAAGACUACAUGAGUAAAGCCCAUCUGCUUUCCAAACCUGAGGUUGGUGACACUCUCAUAAUCUAUCUGUCGGUAUCGGCUUCAGCAAUAAGUUCUGUUCUCAUUAGAAAGGAUGGUAAUGUUGAGAGACCUGUCUACUACGCUAGCAAGGCCUUACAAGAUGCAGAGACAUGAUACUCCAACAUUGAGAAAUUCGCUCUAGCAUUGGUCAUGUCUGCUCGAAAACUUCACCCUUACUUCCAAGCACACUCUAUUAUCGUGCUUACCAAUCAUCCUCUUCGACAGAUACUCCAAAGUCUUGACACUUUGGGGUGAAUGAUAAAAUGGGCGUUAGCAUUAGGUGAGUUUGACAUCUCCUACCAACCAAAGCCAGUUGAGAAGGGCCAAGCAGUGGCAAACUUCAUCGCCGACUUCACAUAUCCUGUUGACAUUGUUUCUACGCCUAAAGAAGUGGUUUCAUUACCUUCGGAAGCUCAGAAAAUAGAACCAACAGCCCUAGCAUGGAGUCUAUAUGUUGAUGGCUUGUCCAACCAACAUGGUUGUAGAGCAGGACUAGUCCUUACGACCCCUGACAAAGUGGCGAUAGAGUAUCCUCUUCGUUUUAAAUUCAAGGCGUCGAACAAUGAGGCCUAAUAUGAAGCCCUCAUAGCAGGUUUACGUUUGGCCCAACACCUUAGGGUUAAAUGAAUUGAUAUCGUCAGUAACUCCCAAUUGGUGGUUAACCAGGUCACCAACAACUUUGACGCUAAGGAUAGCUCCAUGGCAGCAUAUCUGACACAAACACAAUUGUUGCUCCAGCACUUCCACUAGCAGAUCACCCAAAUUCCUCGAGCGGUAAACAGUCAUGCAGAUACUUUGGCUCACCUCGCCUCAUCAGUGGAAGACAAGAUUGGGAGAAAAAUUCAUGUCGAAUUGUUGGUAACACCAAGCACCAUGGCUGCGGAAGUGUGCAACUUACAACAGGGGGAUAGUUGGAUUACCCCGAUUUAUAGAUUCCUUGCUCAUGGCACCCUUCCAAAUGACAAAGUCCAAGCUAAGCACAUUCAAUACAAGGCUACCCGUUACUUGAUCAUUAAUGACCAACUCUACAAAUGGGGUUUUAACCUACCAUACCUAAGAUGCCUUACGCCCGUAGAGGCGGAAACUGUCAUUCGGGAAAUACAUGAAGGAGUCUGCAGAGAUCAUGCUGGAUCUUGAUCCCUAGCACACAAGGCUUUUCGCUAAGGAUAUUAUUGGCCAACACUCCACCAAGAUGCCAUCAGAGUAUCCCGCUCAUGUGAUAAGUGUCAAUGUUACGUAACUAUUCCUCACUCCCCUCCCGAGCCACUCACUCCUAUGAUUAGCCCUUGGCCCUUCGCCAAAUGGGGACUUGAUUUGAUCGGCCCAAUGCCUGCAGGGAAGGGCAAGGUCCGCUAUGAAAUCGUUGCAGUUGACAACUUCACAAAGUGGGUCGAAGUAUAACCCUUGGCAACCCUUACUGAGGUAAAAAUAAAAGACUUCGUAUGGAAGAACAUCCUUUGCAUAUUCAGCAUUCCCAAUGCGAUAGUCAUUGACAACGGACGACAGUUUGACAACAAUAAGUUCAGGAUGUUCUGCUCUAAGUUCAACAGCAACUUAUGUUUUGCCUCCCCAGCUCUUCCCCAGUCUAAUAGACAAGUUAAAGCCAUCAACAAAAUAAUCAAGUGAACUUUGAAAACCAGCUUGGACAAGGCUAAAGGUUGUUGGCCAAAAUUUGUACCCCAAGUUCUUUGGUCAUACCGCACUUCGUAUCAGACAUCAACUGGAGAAACCCCAUUCUCACUUGCCUUUGGUAUAGAGGCAGUUGUCCCAGUUGAGCUUGAGCAAGCAAUGUUCUGAGUCCAGAACUACAUGCAAAGCGAAAAUGAUAAACAACUUACCCUAAACUUAGAUCUAGUCGAGGAACACAGAAACCAGGCUCACUUGAGGAAUGUCGCCUACAAGUAGUGUAUCUCCAACUAUUAUGAUUCAAGGGUCAAACCUUGUUCUUUCAAAGUGGGGGAUUAGGUAUUGAAGAAAAGAUUACUCUGCAACAGAGUCCCGAAUGAAUGAACAUUUAGUCCAAACUGGGAUGGACCGUUUGAAGUUGUUGGCAUCAGUCGCCCUGGCUCCUACAAGCUUAGAAGCUCCGAUGGUAAGACCUUUAGCCAUCCAUGGAACGCUGAUCACUUGAAGUACUAUUACAAGUAAACCCACAUUAUACAAGUGUUAAGCUUCAGCCGUUCGACAUCCUAUGUAACGAAGACUAUUUGGCAUGAAUUUAAUAAAGAGGUGAUUUAGACAACUCAAUCCUAAUCCUCUUAUAUUCCUAGCAAUGAAACACUCGGGUUCAAAGCUUGAACAUGAAUGAUUCCAACAUGGAACAAAGUCUAAGUAUAUGUCAACAAGACUAUACAAAUAAACGAACAGCUUCACAGUAUAUUCGUUCAAUCAUACAUUCCAACACAUUCAUACAUAAGCCAAUUGUGCUUUGAAAGGGUUCAACAUACUUUGUGUCAUUCGACACUUGCUACAAUGUGCCAAGACACCUUGCCCUUAUUCUCACCAACCAGGUGAUGAAAUGUACAACCCGUACUCUCCUUCAUGCCAUCAACCAGGUGAUAAAAUGUAUAACCCGUACUCUAAUAUCAUUUGGCAACUUGCCACUCAUGCCACCAACCAGGUGAAGAAGGAACUCAUAUUCAUACCACCAACCAGGUGAUGAAAUGUACAACCCGUACUCUCCUUCGUGCCACCAACUAGGUGAUGAAAUGUACAACCCGUACUCUAAUAUCAUUUGGCAACUUGCCAUUCAUGCCACUAACCAGGGGAAGAAGAAACUCAUCCUCGUGCCACCAACCAGGUGAUGAAAUAUACAACCUGUACUCUCUUCCAUGCCACCAACUAGGUGAUGAAAUGUACAACCUGUACUCUAAUAUCAUUUGACAACUUGCCAUUCAUGCCACCAACCAGGGGAAGAAGGAACUCAUCCUCGUGCCACCAACCAGGUGAUGAAAUGUGAUGAAAGGUGAUGAAAGAACUCACCUUCGUACCACUAACCAAGUGAUGAAAGCAACUCACCAUUCAUCCCACCUACCAAAAGACGAGUGGUACAAAUUGUACAUGUGAACUCCUAGUAAUCAUAAAUAAUCAAAAACCCUCAAGCUUGACAACUCAACUAGGGGACCACUUAUGCCCAAUAAGAGUUAUAGUCACCAACAAAGUCUUAUUGCAAGCCAACAACAACUUCAGUACAUGGCAUACGAAGAUCAAGCUAUUCAGCCUUCUUGCAUCUGCUUUAAACAUUUCCCCUCUGUAACAAUGCAAACACUACAACUCGUAGAAAGUUUCACACACUCUUGAUCAAGAUAGUGUGAAGCAAAACCAAUUUAUGGUGCCAACAAGAGCUUCAUCAAUGGAGAGAAACCACAAUUCUCAAAAGCUUCACACACUUUUGAUUAAAACAGUGUGAAGCAAAACCAAUUUAUGGUGCCAACAAGAGCUUCAUCAAAGGAGUUCAACCACAAUUCUCAAAAGCUUCACACACUCUUGAUCAAGCCAGUGUGAAGCAAAACCAAUUUAUGGUGCCAACAAAAGCUUCAUCAAUGGAAGGCAACCACAAUUCUCAGAAGCUUCACACACUCUUGAUCAAGACAGUGUGAAGCAAAACCAAUUUAUGGUGCCAACAAAAGCUUCAUCAAAGGAGUUCAACCACAAUUCUCAAAAGCUUCACACACUCUUGAUCAAGACAGUGUGAAGCAAAACCAAUUUAUGGUGCCAACAAAAGCUUCAUCAAUAAAGGGCAACUACAAUUCUCAAACCUUCGAAGCAAAUUCAAGACUGUUCGAAGCAAAUUCAAUUUAUAUGGUUCAUCCAAACCUUCGACUACUAUAAGGUGUGGCUUGCAUCACAAUCUCUUGCUCAACAGUGUGGAAGCAAAAUUUGUAUAUGUUGUCUCUCCCACAUUUUCAAAUUUCUAGUUUCCCAAAAAAAAAAAAAAAAGGGGAAAUUCAACAAAGCUUCAUCAACGGAGGACAACUACAAAUUCUCAAAAGCUUCACACUAUCUUGAUCAAGAUAGUGUGAAGCAAAAUCAAUUCGUGAUACCCAACAAAGCAUCACCACAAAAGCUUCACCAACAAAAGCUUCAUCAAUGGAGGACAACUACAAAUUCUCAAAAGCUUCACACUAUCUUGAUCAAGAUAGUGUGAAGCAAAAUCAAUUCAUGGUACCCAACAAAAGUUUCACCCAUAAAAGCUUCACCAACAAAAGCUUCAACUCCAAAGCUUCACCAACAAAAGCUUCAUCAAUGGAGGACAACUACAAAUUCUCAAAAGCUUCACACUAUCUUGAUCAAGAUAGUGUGAAGCAAAAUCAAUUCAUGGUACCCAACAAAAGCUUCAACUCCAAAGCUUCAUCUACCAAGCUUCACCCACAAAAGCUUCACCCAUAAAAGCUUCACCAACAAAAGCUUCCCCCACAAAAGCUUCACCCACCACAAAAGCUUCACCCACCUUAAAAGCUUCACCUACAAAAGCUUCACCCAUAAAAGCUUCACCAACAAAAGCUUCACCCACCACAAAAGCUUUUCCUACAAAAGCUUCACCCAUAAAAGCUUCACCCACAAAAGCUUCACCCACCACAAAAGCUUCACCUACAAAAGCUUCACCCAUAAAAGCUUCACCAACAAAAGCUUCACCCACAAAAGCUUCCCCACGACAAAAGCUUCACCCACAAAAGCUUCCCCUACCACAAAAGCUUCACCCACAAAAGCUUCACCCAUAAAAGUUUCACCAACAAAAGCUUCACCCACCACAAAAGCUUCACCUACAAAGCUUCACCUACAAAAGCUUCACACUAUUUUGAUCAAGAUUGUGUGAAGCAAAAUCAAUUCAUAGUACCCAACAAAGCUUCAACCUCAAAGCUUUACCUACAAAGCUUCAACACCAAAACUUCACCUACAAAGCUUUAAAAUAUAUAUAUAUUUUUUCGGAAAUUCGAAAAUUCAAAAAUUCGAAAAAAAAAAAUUUGAAAAACAAAUUGCCUAGGCCUCCUCUUCUUUGGGCCAAACAACUUUCAUAACAAAUAUAUAUGAAGGAGUUUUGGGCUACCACUUAGAAAGGAAAUGCCUCAUUCGUUAACUCUCUCGACCGGAGACUUGGGGGACUCCUACCAUAUGCUACUGCACCUUGAUACUCGGAAGUCUCAGAACCACUUAGUGACUUGGAUUUUUCAAGUCUCCAAAAGAGAAGUUUUCCUCACUCGGGAAAUUAAGGGAACACUACCUCAACCUACAUGCUUCACUCACAAAGCUUCAACAUACAAGCUUCAACAAAAGGAAAAAUUCAAAGAACUUAGUGAAGAAGGCCUUGGUGUAUUUAACACAAUACGUUAAAAUGAAGCAAAGCUUGUUUAUUGAUAUCUCCGAUAAGUUUCAAAUAUGUACAUAUACAUGAAUCAAAAUAAACAAACAAGAGGGAGCCUUCACAAAGGUUGCUCAGGAGAAGUCUCAGCAGUCGGCAGAGCCCCAGAAAGAAGAGGCACCAGAGGGUAAUUAUUCGGAGCCUCAAUACAAGGUAGAACCCCAGAAGGAGGAGGCACCGAAAGUUGAUCAUUUGGAGCUUCAUUACGCGGUACCGCCCCAGAAGACGAAGGUAAUAAAUGCCUUUGGAACAAACCUACAAACCUCUGAUGAUCAAGUAAAAUCUGACCAUCAGAUUCUUGUAGCUGGUUGAGCUUCCUCUUCAUGUUUGUAGCAUAGUCAUGUGCAAGCCUGUGCAACUGUUUAUUCUCUUGCUUGAGCCCUCUUAUCUCCUGUUUGAGACUUAUCACUUCAGCCGCCAAUGAUUCAACUUGGCAGGUUUGAGCAAAUAGGCGUUGGGCCAUAUUAAACACAGAACCUACACACUGAACACUGAGAGCCAGAGAAUCCUUAACAGCCAAUGGAAAGUAGUAUGUUAUCUUUGGGAGUGAGAAGGUUCCUGGCCACCACCGCAGUGGUCAUAUCAUUCUUCAUCACAGAGUCCCCAACAGUAAGAGGACCAGUAAGGGAUAAGAAUGAUGGGCGCCAUAUGUUUUCUUGAGAAGGCAUGGCUACCUCUUCACCAAAGUUCAAGUCAAAACGACGGUCAGAUGGGCUAGACAUUCUCGGAAAUGAUGAAGGAGAAAUGAGAUGCAAUAAAUCUCUGAAGUAAGGGGAAAAUUCCUAUAAGCAAUAACUUUCUGAAUGUACUUCUUGCACACAAUUGGUGCCCUUAUAAAAGAAAGGGCAACAGGGCCGUUGGUUCAAAAAUCGAAGAGGCACCACUCUCUAGAUUCCGAAGAGGCACCACUUUCCACACCAACAUCAGCUCCUUGGGUACCACAGAUAACUUUGCCAAAGAUCUUUGACAAAGUUUAAACACAUAAAUUUUGAAGGUCCAACUACCCUGCUAUUACCCACAAAGGUAAAGGAACAUCACCACUGCUUGAUAACUAGAAAGUCCCAAUCUGUGUCAACCUCCGUGCCCCAUGGCAAGGCAGACUGGAAAAAAUGCCCAACCUUUACUCACAUUCGAGACUCCCAACAAGAUUGCUUGCUCAAAAAUCGAAGAGGCACCGCUCUCCGAAUCUCGAGAGCCAGACUUCCAACAGGAUUAUGUGCUCAAAAAUCGAAGAGGCACCGCCCUCCGAAUCUCAAGAGCCAGACUCCCAAUAGGAUUACUUUCUCAAACAUCGAAGAGACACUACUCUUCGAAUCUCAAGAGUCAGACUCCCAACAAGAUUGGUUUCUCAAAAAUUGAAGAGGCACCGCCCUCCGAAUCUCGAGAGCCAGACUCCCAACAUGAUUACUUUCUCAAAAAUUGAAGAAACACUGCUCUCCGAAUCUCAAGAGUCAGACUCCCAAUAGGAUUGCUUUCUCAAAAAUCAAAGAGGCACCGCCUUCCUAAUCUUGAGAGCCAGAUUCCUAACAGGAUUACUUUCUCAAAAAUUGAAGAGACACUGCUCUCCGAAUCUCAAGAGUCAGAUUUCCUUGGAUAAAACUUGUCUGCAAUCUUCACACGCAACAUCAGCUUUCCAGAUACCACAUACCACUUUUUCAAAGUGCUCUGACAAAGUUAAAAAUCGUGAAGCUUGCAGCUCCCACUACAUUGAUAUGACCAAGAAGGGUAAAAGAAUAGCACUACUACUUGUAUUAGGGAGACUCCUAUAUAUAUCGACCUCCAUCCUCCACAGCCAGGCAGACCUGCAAAUAAAUAAAAAAUGCUCAACUUUUCUUCACAUCUGAGAGGGCACUCUCAGCAGAGUCUCUCGAAAUACUCAGCCUCUUUUCCUCCCGAUAAUACCUCUGCAAACAAGCCACACCAGAGCAAGAGUAUCUCAUAUCAUCAGGGUUAAAAGCAAAAGUAUCCUAUAUCAUGCUUUUUCCCUGUCUUUUCCUUUGGCCUUGUUCUUACCUACAAGACAAGGAGAAAAAGAGCAAUCAGUCAACACUUGGAAUCAAGCUUCCAGUCAGGAAAUUACUUUCUGGAACCCCUUGCCUGAUUACUUACCUAGCAUUGCUCUUGAGUACUCAUCUUCAACAUUUUAUGCUUCCAGAGAAGAUACCAUAUCUGCAUGAGGAACAAAUAGGGCAAGUGAGAAGGAUACAAGGAAGCAUGUGGAGACAAGCAUAACAGAACACAUGCCGAUACAUCCACUACUUUGUCAACAGCAAAAGUAUCCUAUAUCAUCAGGGUAUCGUACUCUAGAUUUGAUGGACUUGUUUUGACCCUCAAAUUCUUGAGUCACCCUAUACUCUGGAGGAAACCAGAAAACACUCUAGCCCAGUUCAAGAAUAAGCCUGUGGAAAGUUACUUCUUCAAAAGAAAAAGUAUCUCAUAUCUUCUCUUCUCCAUUUGCUUCUCCUUAUCCUUGUUGUUGUUUAUGACAGAAGGAGAAGAAGAACAAUCAAUCGGAAGCCGCAGUCAAACCUCCGAUCCAGGUUGUUUGCUUGGAAGUCUGAUUGCUUACCUUGUCUGUUACCUCCUUCGGCAAAUCUCCUAGCUCGGCAACUUGGGGGACUCCUACUAUAGGGUUUGUAUCGCACUUGACCAAGCCCGAAACUACAAGUAAGCUUCAAGUGAAAUUGAUACAUUACCUUGUGCAUCUUCAUCAGUUAAAAAUACCACCCCUGGAUGGAGGAAAAGUACUUCCAGAGAAAAUUCCACAUCUACAUAUGAGACAGAUAAGGCAAGUAAAAAUGAUACCACACUUCGGUACUUAGAAGUUUCGUGAUUACUCAAUGGCUUGGAUCUUGCAAGUCCCCAACUGAGGAGCUUCCUUCACUCGGGAACUUAGGGGAGCACUGUUUGUAUCAUACUUGACCAAUCCUGAAACUAUUGAGCACCGGUCAAUGAUAGGAGCAUAUUUAUGUGACUUAGUUAGCUUGUUUCUUGGCAUUUAUGUUGUUAGUUCGUAGUUAUUUUAGUAUUUUAAGCUAUUUUCGUGUGUUUGUAGGUCCAAAGGGUUAAUGUGGCAAAGAAGUGCAUUUUGGAGCAUUUUGGAGCAUUUUUAGGCAUGGAAUGGAUAGCAUAUGCUUGGAGCAAAAGGAAUGGACGAAAUUUGAAGUUUGUGCAUCAUCCUCUCCCUAUAAAUAAUCAUUUUAGCACACUCACUUCACCCAACACAUUCACCUACCACUACAUCCCACUCAUUUCACCCAACACAUCCAUUCUCCAAACAUCCAUCCACUACACCCAUUACAUCCACUCAUUACCAAACACUCAUCCACUUAUUACCAAACAUUCAUCCACUACACCCAUUACAUCCACUCAUUACCAAACAUCCACCCACUACACCCAUUACAUCCACUCAUUACCACAACACUCACCCACUACACCCAUUACAUCUACUCAUUACAACUCCAUACACUUCUCUCCCUAGCCUAUAAAUACAUCCACCCUUCACCAUAAUUUGGGGGCCAUCAUCCAAAGACACCACAUCAUCUACACAACUCUCCACCCUUCACCAUAACUCACCUAUAUCCAUCCACCACUAAGAGACCAUCCAUUCACCACUCACACCUUGGUGCCGCAUAUUUGCAAGGAAGGAAGAUUGCUUGGAGUUGUGCUAGUCAUUCAAUUUGGAUUGCUGGAGCAUUCUAGGUGUAUUCUACUUUGGUUUUCAAUGUUUAAUUUCAAUUGUUUCUAUUUAAUUGCAAGUAUGAGGAACUAAACCUCUUUUGGCUAGAGGAGAAUUCGAAACCAUGAAUAUAUUUGCAAUAUGAAUUGAUUUCUUCCAAUUGUGAUUUGAUAAGUUGUGAUUGCAAUUCAAUUAUCUAUUUUAUUCAUAACAGAUUUGUGUAUGUUUAUUAAGGAUGCAUACUUAGUUUUCAUGCAUGAAUUUGAUGCUAGGAUAUAAAUAAGUUUCAACUAAUCGUUACAAGUUUAUAUUCAUGAGUAGUGAAGGUUGCUUGUCACAAUCGCGUUAAUUGAAUUCUUGGCAAACGUAUCAUGCAUUCAUAGUUACAAUUGCCUCGUCAACGCUUAUGAUUUUCAUGGAACUUAAUGAUUUUAAUUGUAUCUCUAUUAUGCAUUCAUAUAAGGGACUUUUAGAGAAUGAUUUGGGUUGUCGCAUGCAUUCAUCCAAUUCAAUAAGUAAAGGAAAAUCUGAGGGUUAAUUUGUGCAUCACGGUUAAUCUGGGAUGUUGAGCAUCGUAGUUUAUUGAAAAGCAAUUGGAGAUUGAUUUGUAUGCAAGUGUGUUAUAUGUGGAGAAAGACCUUCUAGCUAGCCCAUCAUCCAUCCAAAACAACCAAUUUCGUGCAAAUCUGUUUAGUUCUAGUUUCUAUUUUGUUUUACUUUAUUUUCGUCCAAAACCUAAUCCCCAUUUACUUUAGUGUAUCUAAUUAGUUAUAAUCUGUUUUAGUUUGUGUUUUUAAGUGUUUUGAGUCUAUAGAGUCUAGUUAAGUGUUUUUAAGUUUCUUUUAGUAAGUCAGUUUAGUUUAGAUUAGCAAUCCCUCCUAAUCCCCGGUCCAGAACGAUCCCUACUUAUACAUAUACUACAAUUGUCAAAAGAGGGUUUAAUUUGAGUGCUUAACUUUCAUCGCAUCAGUCAACGUUACCGUCAAGGACCCAGAAGAGUUUCCUUUCAACUAGGAGGCCAAUCACAGCGCGACACGUGUCGACAUCAGAAGCCAAUCAUAGCGCGACACGUGUCAACAUUAUAAGCCAAUCACAACACGACACGUGUCAAUGUCAGAAUGAAACUAGAAACUCUCUUCUAUAAAUAGAGAUCAUUCUCUCACAAUAUUUUCGAAUUUCAUUUGUACUAAAUCAUUCACUAGUACUCACUAAAGGAGAGCUUGAACCUAUGUACUUGUGUAAACCCUUCAUAAUUAAUAAAAACUCCUCUACUCCGUGGACAUAGCCAAUUUGGAUGAACCAUGUACAUCUUGUGUUUGCUUCCCUGUAUCUAUCCAUUUACAUACUUAUCCACACUAGUGACCGGAGCAAUCUAGCGAAGGUCACAAACUUAACACUUUCUGUUGUACCAAAGUUCUCGCUGAUUUUGUGCAUCAACACACACUAUACAUUGAGAACCCCGUGCAACAUGUCAAUUGCCAUCCUGAGUUGGUAUGCAGGGAUGUUAGAUGUCAUAAUUACAUCCAAAGGAAGGCUAGCAAACAACAACUUAAUCACUUUUAAGGUGAAAAUAUUGCAUCCGCAUGUGCAAUUCAACAAGUUUGAUAGACAAUUAAAUAAUUUAACUAAACUCAAUGACAAAUAAGUGAAACUUCAACUCACCCAUUCUCUUGUUGUGGAGACCUUGGACUUAUGUUGAUCAACCAAGGUUUCUUCUUCAUAUCCCUUGAUAAGCUAAUGAGGACAUAUGGCAAUACGUGAGUGUGAGAGCCAAUUUUGCAAUUGCUUGCCGUAUGUGGGUGGCCGUCUUAAUUGAGUCAUACACAAAUAUUUUCCCAUCUUUAAGGUUCAACUCUACUGCCACCCACAAGUGAUCAAGGUUGAUAGGCAUGUACACCCUAUCAAUAUCCUUUAUCCAUGAUGCAUCAAACUCCACCCCCUUCCGCGUCACUACUUUGUGCAACAUUGGCUCAUAUUGUUUGGAUGCAACGCCUUUCCACCCUCUACUUUUCAAUUUAGCAUUACUCUCAUCAUAGCUUUGUUGAUAGUAGAAGUAUCUACAAGUGUAAAAUACAACGAAAAACAUGUACAACACUUCAUCGAAACAAAAAUACACUCAACAUUACAAUUGCCAAACUUUUCAAUAUUAGGAGAAAUUAAGUGGGAUACAUUACCAAAAACAUGUACCAUUUUCCGAUGUCAAAGAUUAAAGGGGUGUGGCAAACCACUUGCAUCCUUUUUUUUUCCUGCCCCCUUCUGCUUCGCACAGACGUUACGUUGACUUUGCCCUUGUACAUAAGACCUUCAUCUUGGUUCCCACAUGCUGGCCCUUAGGUGUGUAUAUCACCACCUCAUCGUCAUCAUCCAAAACCUUGACAUCUUCAUACUCUUCUAAUGCCCGUUCUCUAAUUAAACCAACCAUCUUUCCAUAUACAUCUAAGGGACUGGCCUAAUCAACAGUCUCGACAAACUCAUUCAAACCUUUUUCCUCCACAACUUCCAUUAAUUACCUCGUUCCCUCUCGAUCCCUUGCCUCCUCCCUAUUUGCCUUCAUCCCUUAAUUCCUCCUCCUGACUCCCAUCCACGCCCAUUGGUUUUUCCACCCCUCUUUCCAAACCAUUUUUUUCAUCACCCCCUUUUUCACCACCCUAUUCUUCUUCUUUUGCUUUAUCUUCUUCUUCUUCUUCCAUAACAAUUUGUAUAUUACUGCCAAUUUGACCACCCUCGUCUUUUUUUUCACCUUUUUAUCUUCUUCUUCUUCUUUUGCACCUUCAUCUUCUUAUUCUUUUUCUCCCUUUUAUUCAUCUUCUCAUUCCUCUUCAACUUGUUUUCCCACAUCUUUUUUUUUCUUUCUUCUUCUUCCUCGAUAUUCUCCUCCACAUGUUUUUUCUUCACUACUCUUCUUAAUUCCUUACCACCUUCGAUAGUUCUUCCACUUUCCUCAGCAAAAUCUUGUCUAAUAUCUCCUUCUCAAGGGCCAACCGCGCGAAUGACACCUUCAACGGCAUUGUCAACUCACCGACAUCAUUUAUGUUUGGAGUCAAGUUCUCAAGAAUCAUAAUAUCCGCAUCAUCCCCCCACGUCCAGUACUAUUUGUUCCUUUCUGCUUCAGUCAGAACAAUUUCUCUAAUCCCCACAUCCUACCAUUUAAACCACGCAUCAUAAAUGCAUUUCUCACACAUACAAUAUUCACACAUUCACUUUCAUUCAUAUAAAAUUCAACAGUUUUGCAAUACAAUUAUACCUCUCGACUCUCGUUUAUAUACAACUGCAGCUGUUCGUGGAUCUGCUAUUUCUUCGUUGUCUUCUAUUGCAAAAUUCUCGGUGUAGCUGCCGGAUCUACGAUUUUGCAGUAAUAUAGGGGCUUUUCAAGUUGGAGAAUUUUUUUGUAUGCCCACAUUUGCACAUAUUCCUUAAUAAAUGAAUACCCAAUCACAUUAAUAAAGACGAGAGCAACACAUAUUACCUGAAAAAUGUUGGAAAAUCCUUUGCAGCACCAUCCAGAAUGAUGCGCCCUCUUCGUUCCCUUAACUUCUUUUUCUUCCUCAUCUCACUCACCACACCUUCAACCCUACCUCUACAUCUUGUUAAAGCAGCAAAUGAGAGGUUGUCAUUAAGUUUGUUAAUGCACAAAACCGGAGGUCUUGGAACAACGUAAAUCCGACAGUGAAUCUGCAAGAAAUGUAAAGAACACAAGAUGUAUCGCGGUUCACCCCAAUGUUUGGGCUACGUCCACACUGAUAUUGUAUUUCUCUGUUUGUGAGAGGAUUGAAAGGGUGAGAGCUUUGCUCUAAAUAUGAGAGGGGGUGUGAGGCUUUGGGGAUCUCAGGCCUAGGAAUUGGCCUCCCUUAAUGAGGAGAGUGAGGAGUUAUUUUAUAGAAUAAGGGCUCCUCACUUAUUACAUAUUUGCCCCUUCUUUUAUUACAUAAUUACAUUUGAGUCCCCCGAGUAUUUAUACGAGGUCUAAAUACGGAGGCCCUAAGUAUGGUACAAACAGUAGUCCCCCAAGUCUUCAGUUAAGAGAGUCUUUUGGCAGGAGACUUGAAAUUCAGCCCAUGUGUGGGCCGAAGUAGCUAGAUGUCGUCUAGAACUGAAUACUCAAUAUGAGGCGGUGCUUAAUCUGAAAUGAUGCUUAACUAGAAGUAGCACAUGUUGUGAGGCUGCUCGGUUUGUGGCUUAUGUUGCCUUGGUUGGCUCGGCUUGUGGCGUUGAAGGUGAGGGAGUCCAUUUUAUAGAAUAAGGGCUCGCUCCUCAAUACAUAAGUGAUGGGUUAGGAGUGAUGCUCGCGGUGAGAUGGUUGCUCAGCUGGCGGCGAUGCUCUCUAAUGAUGGUAAGGAAGUCCUUUUUAUAGAAUAAGGUCUCGCUCCUCAAUACAUAAGUGAUGGGUUAGGAGUGAUGCUCGCGGUGAGGCGGUAGCUCAGCUGGCGGCGAUGCUCUCUAAUGAAGAGGAGGGAGUCCCUUUUAUAAAUUAAGGGCUCGCUCCUCAGUACAUGAAUAAUGGGUGCUCUCUAAUGAAAGUGAGAGAGUCCCUUUUAUAGAAUAAUGCCUCGCUCCUUAGUACAUAAAUAAUGGGCUAAGUCCCCCAAGUAUUUCUCAUGAGACCCAGUUGAGGCCCAAUAUAUGGUACAUAAUGUAGUCCUCUAAGUCUUUGGUCAAUAGAGUCUGUUGGCUGGAGACUUCAAAUUGAAUCCAUGUAUGGGCCGAAGUGGUGGUUGUUCGGAGUCGGUAUUUGUAUACCCUGCACUGAAGCUUUGUAGGUGAAGCUUUGCAAGUGAAGCUUUGAAGCUAGAGCUCUAUAAAUGAAACUUUUGAAGUUAGAGCUCUGUAAAUGAAGCUUUUGAAGCUAGAUUGACAUGAGUGAUGCUCAUGGAUGUUGACAUGAGUGAUGCUCAUGAAUGUUGACAUAAGUGAUGCUCAUGAAUGUUGACAUGAAUGAUGGUCAUGAAUGUUUAUGUAUGAUUGUCAUGAAUGAUGCUCAUGAAUGUUUAUGUAUGAAUGACAUAAGUGAUACUCAUGUAUAAUUUUGAAGUAUUGGACGUACUUUUGAUCACCUAGUGGGUGAUAAUAGUGGCAGGUUGUCGAAUAAUUUUGGAGUACUGGGUGUACUUUUGAUCACCUGGUUAGUGAUAAUAGCUGCAGGUUGCCGAAUGAUUUUGGAGUAUUGGGCGUACUUUUGAUCACCUGGUUGGUGAUAAUAGCGGCAGACUGCCGAAUAAUUUUUGGAGUACUAGGCAUGCUUUUGAUCACCUGGUUGGUGAUAAUAGCAGCAGGCUGCCGAAUAAUUUUUUGUAGCACUGGACGUACUUUUGAUCACUUGGUUGGUGAUAAUAGAGAGCCUGGUUAUUUUGGGCAUAUGGGCCUUCGCUCUACACAUAACAUUCUAGCCCAUUAUUUUGGGCCUUUAGUUUUUUAUUUUUUUUAUUUUUAUUUUUAUUUUAUUUUUACUACCCUCUGAUGGGGUUUAUACAAAUGCCUUCGAAAGAUAAGAAAAAUAAAUUACAUCAUUCAAAAAUAAAUCCGACCCUCUGCUCAAUGGGUCACACCCAUAAUUCCUUUUUCUGCAUGCCAUCACCACUGCAAUUAUGUCUGCUUCUUUUUAUCUUCUUUUGCUUUUUGCUUUUGCUUUUGCGUUCUGUUUUUUGCUUUCUACUUGGUUGCUGCUGGGGCCUUGUAGUGGGAUGGCAUGUGAGGAAAGCCUCCCUUUUCUUUUCCUAGCGCUCCGUGGUCCACGAGUCUACAACUUGUUAUCCACCUGCACUCUUGAUUUGCGCCAGAUGCUAAUUGCUCCCUAAAGGUGGAGAACAAAUUGCUUUCAGUCCCUUCAACAUAACUUUGACUGCUGGAAGGCUGCAAAAGAAAAGGGUGAAGAGAGAGGUUUCUGUUCUCGAUACUUUGUGUCUUCAAACACGAUGCACAUGCUAUUUGGUAUGCGUGGGUAGCUCAAAAAGGAGCUAAGUCGGCAUGGGUUUAUAGAUGAAUCUGCAAGAUGUAUCGUGGGGUGAACUCCAAGCUGUUAUUCUAUGCGGCAUGGGUUUACAAAUGAUGCAGCAUCACGAUUUCCGAUUCUAUCAUAAUGAAUUUCAGUGCAAGGACCACAAGGACCAGUAUCUCCCAUCUCUCAUAAGUUAUCCUUACAGCCAAACGGUAGUACAUAACCAGCUGGUAGAAACUUAAGCCACAACUUUCUAACUUCAUCAUCAGGAGCAAGACCAAUUUUCUCAUCACCACCAAAAUAGGUGGCAUAAAUUCGAUCUUUUGGCAGCUUAUAAACUUUUGUGAGAAGCUUCCAUGCCCAUCCAAUGGCCUCUUUUUUGAAAUAAUCCCCGAAAGACCAAUUACCAAGCAUCUCAAAGAAGGUGUGGUGGUAAGCGUCUUUCCCUACAUCAUCGAGAUUGUUGUACUUUCAAGGCAAAUUCGGCACUGGAUUUGUUCGCCAGGGCCCACCUUGAGGUCAAUCUUGCUAGGCUCGGUGGUCUGCUUUGGAGGCAUGAGAGGCGAAGCAUCUAAGUGAGAUGUGAAAUACUUUUGAAGCUCCCAACCCUUCUCUUUCCUCUACAAACUCCGGACAGCCAGGAUCGCUCAACUGGAAGACGACCCAGAAGGCGAGGUAAUUGAGAUCUCAAAUCGAUUUGGUACUGGAUUAGAAUGAAACCCCUAAGGAUUUUGAUUGCUGCUUUGCUUAAUUGGCCGUUUUGUUUUUCUGAAACCAGAGAGGUGUUGGGCUGAUUUAUAGGUGACGUGAGAGGGCAUCGACGAUGAUUUGCCCACUGCGUGAUGUAUAGGCUACUAUGAUAGGCUGGCUAUGAGGUUUCUUGGAAACCGCUAGGCUUGAUUGGGACUUGAGAAAUGUUUUCUUCACAAAAUCGUCAUCAUCAUGAACAAAUUUAACCUUAUAAUUUCAGGACUUCUUUCUUCACGUAUUUGCUUCGCUUUCAGAUGAUGUAAAACUUGAUGAGCAACUUUCAAAAUGAGACUUCAUGGUUGGAACCAGGUCGAUCUUGAAACUCAACCGGGCUGAUCUCGUCCGCACGAUUGGCGGGCCUAUAGUAUCCUGUCGUGUUUCUAACGCUGCUGCUGUGACCGGGACCUGGAGCGGAAGACAUGGAUUUUGCAGUGACUCAGGUGUUUGGUUCUUAGGUUGUGCAGAUUCACGGUGGACAAUGGUGAGGUUUCACGGUGGUGAGAUGAAAAAAUGAAAGAGAACCGACAUAGCUUUUUGUGUCGAUUCCCACAGACGGCUGAUGCGAAAUAUAUAAGCACACAAAUUAAACCCUCUUUUUAUCAAUUGUAGUAAAGUAUGUAAGUAGGGAUCGUUCUAGGCCGGGGAUUAGGAGGGAUUGCUAAAUCACUUGGAAACUGACUUGAAAACGUAAAAACAAAGUUUAAAACACUAACUAGACUCAAAGAAUGCAAAACUAUACUUUAAAACACUAAAACAAACCAAAAGACUCAAAACAGCCCCUAAACACUCAAAACUACCUUAAACACACAAUCUGGGCAGUUUUGGGACUCUAACACAAACUUGGACGAAUUUUGGUUUUCUAAUGAACUAAAACACUUAAAAACAUAAUCUAAGACAAGUUCUAAUUAAUAUGACUCAAAGAAAUAAGAUGGGGUUGAUUUUGGACGAAAAUAAUUAAAUUAAGACAAGAACAAAGUAAACAAAUUCUUAGACAAAUUUAAGUGAAUCAAAACGGAUUGUAAAAUGAAUUUGAAUGAAACUUAUGGAUGGAAGGCUAGCUAGGAGGUUCUUCUCCACACAUGUCACACUUGCAUACAAAACGAUUUCCAGUUGCUUUUCGAUAAGCUAUGAAUACUCAACGCCCCAAAUUAACCGUGAAUUGCACUAAUUAACCCUCAGUUUUUCCACAAGUUAUUGGGUUGGAUGAUUGCAUACGACAACCCAAAACAUUCCCUACAAGUUCCCUACAUGAAUUGCAUAAUAGAGAUACAAGCAAGAAUCAUUAAGUUCUAUGAAAAACAUAAGCAUUGACGAAGCACUCGUUACUAUGAUUUGCAUGAAACUUAUGCCAAGAAUUUACUUAACGUGAUUGUGACAAGCAACCUUCACUACUUGUGAAUAUAAGUUCAUAACGAUUAGGUGAAACUCCCUUAUAUUCUAGCGUUAAAUUCAUGCAUGAAAAUUAAGCGUGCACUCUCAACCAACAUACACAAAUCAUUUUUUAUACGAUCGGAUAAGUAAAUUGAAUUCACAACUUAUGAAUCACAACUGGAUGUAAUCAAAUCAUAUUGCAAGUAUGAACAUGGUUUCGAAUCACCCCCUAACUAAGAGGGGUUUAGUUCCUCAUACUCACAAAGCAAAGAUACAUAAAAUUAGACAUUAAAAUCAAAGGAAAGAAAACACCUAAAAUGCUCCAACUUGGGUAGCAAGUGCAUCCAAGAAUUCUCCUUUGCUUGCUUGCGGCAGAUUGCUUUGUGGACGGGUUUUUGGGUAGUUUUAUGAUGUAGAAUGGAUGGGGAAUGGUAUGGAAAGGUUUAGGGUAAGUGUGGAGGAGUGUUUGAGGGUUGGAGGGUGGUGGAGAACUAGGCAAAGAGGGUGGAAGAAGGUGGAGUGGCUGUUAUGUUUUUCUAGGCACUAGAAUGGUGUUUUUUGGGGUGUUUUGCUACCUAGGGUGAGUAUGGACGAAUUUCUGUGAUGAAUGGUGAAUAUGAGAGUGUGAACCCUUUGCCAAGGGGUGUAAACAUGUAUAUAUAGGCCCCAAAAACCUUAGAGAAUCAGGUUAGGCUAGGGAGAAUGCAAGGCAAAGAGUGUAUGUGGUGUGCAAUGGUCCAAGGGUGAAAAUGAAGUGAUGAUGCAAAGUGUGAAGGGUAAAAUGGAGUGGUCUUGUAGCUAGGGAGCAUGAAUGAUUGUGUACAUUGCAUAGAGAUGGAAAGGGAGGUGAAAAUGUGUCAAUAAAUGGGUCAAAGGUGCAGCAACAUGUGGUACACAAGGCAUGGGAUUCCAAAUGUGAAUGAUGGAGCAUCAAUUGGUGCAUGUUAUGGUUGUGAAAGUUGUAUAAAUUUUUGUGGGUGAAGGGAACAAGAGGUAUCAAGCAAUUAAGUGUAAUAAUUAAAUGAAUUGAAACAUGAAAACAGAAAUUAUGUAGGGGACAAGAGUGAUCAAGCAUGGCAUGGGAAUCCAAAGGGAAUUCUAUGUUGUUUUGCAUGGCAAUGAAGGCAAGUUGGGGUGACAAAUUUUUGGGCUGAGUUCUUCAUCUUUUGGACCAUAAUUCUUCACAUUCUUGGCCUCUUUAGUUCUCAAAUUCGUCCAUCCACUUUGGCCCAAAUAUGUGACAUGCAUUCCAAGCUCCAUUUUGCUCCAAAAUGCUCCAAAAUGCAUCUUCUUGCCUACUUUGUCCAUAAAAUCUGAAAACACACGAAAAUGACUUUAAACAUUAAAAUAACUAAGGAAACACGACAUAAAUGCACAAGAACAAGCCAACUAAGUUGCAUAAAUAUGCUCCUAUCAAAUUCCCCCACACUUAGCUUUUGCUAGUCCUCGAGCAAAACAAAGAGAUAAAACGAAACAAAGUAAAUAAAACACAACCUAAACCUUCCAACAUUUGCCUCAGGGAUUUCCAAUGCACAUGACAUGUUAAAAAUCAUUAUCCCCACAGAUUUGAGUCAUCUUCACACUUAAGCACGUACUUAAUCAUAGUCACUACUUACUUGUUCACAAUUAAUCGAUUAAAAUAAUGUUUUUGAUGUAGUAACAUGCCUUAGAGAAAUCACUCAAUUCUUUACAAGAUAUGCACUCAAUUUUCACUCAGAUUUUCUAACUACACACCCUAUACUAGUUAUAUGUGAGAAGAUUGAUGUAGAUAUGAAAACGAACGCUCACAUAUAUGUAUCACAAAGAAAGCAAUUUCUGGAGUUAAUAAGCAUGUUUAGAUAUGAUCUCAUGAAUGGAAUGCUACUACUUAGAUGCGAGAACCAGUGACACCAUAUGCUCAUAUCAAUUUCAAACUCCACAUAUUGAAACGCAUGACACUCAAGAUGAAGUUAAGGGUUGUAACGGGGCUUGGGGUGAUGGCUAACAAAUGAAGGAUAAUGAUAACAAUCGUUCUUAAAGCAAUAGCAAGUAAAGUAAUGAAAUUGAAACUUAGAAUUCACUUAGAUUGCAGAAAUCAGCUUUUAGACACGAAGGGAAAAUUCAAACAAAUAUUUAGGGCCGAAUUCUAUGUUUUUGGACCCUUUCUUCAACAAGCAGCACUUUAAAAACUCUUUUUCGCAUAUUUUUCAAACUUUUUUUUUUUUUUUUUUUUUUUUCAACUCUUCUUUUCUUUUCAACAAACAUAAUAACUCACACUUCCCCCACACUUGUUUUCUGCCAUACAUUAAUCAAAAGAAAUUCAAUUUGAAUCAUGCUUUACUAUGCUUCAAGAACAAGGGUAUGGAUGGUCCUAAACUAGGCUAGGUAAGGAUAAUGUGGUUUAACAAAGAAUGUAGGCUAUCAAGGCUCAAUGGGGUUAACUUAAACAUAUAACGAUAUGGGAUACAUGGCAGUUUUGGCUUUGGUGGUGGUAACUACACAACAACUUCAUCUUGAAUAUGUUUUAUGCAAAUCAAUAGCAUGCUUUGAAUGAAAUAGGCAUGAGUUCUAGCAUUUGGAACUAAAUGAUGAAACGCCUUCUAAGUAAUAACCACGCAAAGAAUAAUGAGAUCAUGCAACGACUUUAGAAAACAAGAAUGCACAGAUUUUCAACUCUCCAAAUAACGUUUAGGCUCAAGUCUCACAAGGUUGUAGCGUUAGUUUGAGUUCUUUCCUUCAAGCAUGUUACAAAAACUAAUUUUUUCUUUUAUGAUUACAUGUGAUUUCAUAAGUUAUAACCACAACCACGCAUAUAAAGAGUAAAUCAAACUUUCAUCCAUGUUUAUAACUCUCUUUAACAGUCAUGCAAUUACAAACUGAAUCCUCAUCAUUGUGUUGGAAGGUACCCUAAGACAACAAAAUAAGCACACAAAAACAACUCUUUUUGGGAUUUUUCAAAAACAAUUUUUCAAAAUUUUUUAUGAAUUUUCGGAUUUUUAUGUCAAAACACACUGAAACACUCCAAAACAGCUUAAAAAUACUUAAAACAACAAGGAACAACACUAGAAGUAAUGGGUGAUAAAUUUCUACGAAUUUCAUACAAAACAAUGGUUACCCCCCCACACUUAAAUCAAACAUUGUCCUCAAUGUUUCAAGCAUAUACUCACACACCAAAAAACAAGCAAAUAACAAACGACAAAUAAAAAAACAUGACAAAUAUGGCAAAGUAAAAACCAGACAGAGUAGAGUUUAAGAACGCAAAUCUGGUUUUGGAGAUAGUUGAUCUUGUUGACUUUCCACAGCUUUGAUCUUGAACUGGUUUGGAAUUCUGAGCGGGGAAUAUCAGAGUGCAGUCUGCAUUCUUCUCUGCUUGUUUCUUCUGCACGACGGGCGAGCACGAGGUAAAGGUGUUGGUCUGUUUCUUUCUUCAAUCUUUCCAAGUGCCCACCUCUUGCUCUCUUUCUCCUUGUCCUUAGUUGAGGAUGAAUCAGCACGUUAUCUCCACAUGCUUCGAGGUAUCAUCUUCACUUCCCUUAUAAGUGAGAAACAAAGCGAAAGCAUAAGAUGAUGAGUACUCGAGAGCAAGAGCUGGCUGGAGAAAGCAUGAUAUGAGAUACUCUUGCUCUCAACCCUUAUGAUAUGAAAUACUUGUGCUCUGGAUGGGUUGUUUGCAGGGGUAUCCCAGGGGAUGAAAAAUACAGAGUGACUCGAGAGGGUUUGUUGGAAAGCCAUUUCAGAGAGGAUGAAGGGUUAAGUGAGGCUGAAAGUUGGGUGAGACUGCUUCACUUUGAAGUUCAACAUUUAUAGAAUUUUCUUAAUGGCUGGGAAGGCAUUGUUGCAUUACUCGUGUCGGCAAGCCUGGGGUAAUUUAACAGUAGUUUUCACGUGCAUUCCGCUUCUCCAAAAAUUUUCGACAGAUUGCGCGUGAUUUACGCAACGCAGAUGUGCAAAUUGACAGAUGAUGACACGUCUCGAUAAAGCAGAGGCCUCUUUAAUAUCCGGAAUUUACGCUUCGAGUUCUGAGCUUUGUUGAGGGCAGAGAUUGCAUGUGACAAGUGCUGACGAGGCUGAGAGAGACAUAUGGUUGGAAUCGAUGCUUCGACAGACUGCCCGUGAUUUUCGCAAAGCUGAGUUGCGUGUGAUGGAUGCUGAUGAGGCUGAGACAGUUGACACUCUUCGGUAUCUGGAAUUGGUGGUUUGUGAGCAAGCCCAACUUUUGAGAAAGCUGGCGCCUCUUCGAUCUCUGAAUGGCUUCUUCAAUUUCUGAGCUCACCUCUUCAAUCUCUGAAAUCCCAUCGCGUGCUGAUUUUUAUAGAGGUAUGCAGGACGUUCAAAGCACUCUUGAAUUUCUGUCUGUAAAAACUCCCGUUUUGCACUUUUACUAUCUUGACUUGUCCGAUCUCCUCUUUCUUUAACACCUCUGAAAAAUGUCUGGCCCUUCCGACCAUCGUUUUGACUUGAACCUUGGUGAAGAAGCAGCCCCUCCUUCUCCAGACAACAUAUGGCGUCCGUCCUUCACAUCCCCUACUGGUCCUCUCACCGUUGGGGAUUCGGUGAUGAAAAAUGACAUGACCGCUGCGGUGGUGGCCCGGAACCUUGUCACCCCCAGAGAUAACAGAUUGCUCGCUAGACGGUCUGAUGAAUUGGCGGUUAAGGAGUCUCUGGCUCUUAGCGUGCAGUGUGCGGGUUCUGUGUCCAACAUGGCCCAACGCCUAUUUGCUCGAACCCGUCACGUUGAAUCGUUGGUGGCUGAAAUACAGAGUCUUAAAGAGGAGAUUAGAGGACUCAAGCAUGAAAAUAAACAAUUGCACAAGCUUGCACACAAUUAUGCCACAAACAUGAAAAGGAAAAUUGACCAGCUGCAGGAAACUGAUGGUCAGAUUUUACUUGAUCACCGGAGGUUUGUGGGUUUGUUCCAACAGCAUCUGCCUUCGUCUUCUGGGGCGGCACCGCGUAGUGAAGCUCCAACUGAUCAACCUCCGAUACCUCCUCCUUCCGUGGCCCCACCGAUUGCUGAGACUCCGCCGACUACUGCAACCUCUCCCAAGCAGCCUUUGUGAAGGCUCCCUCUUGUAUUAGGCUAUGUUUCUUUAUUUCCCAGUUUCCUGUUCAUUUCCAUGUAAUUUAAUGUUAAAUUCCUUUGCAUAUUUGUUAAUGUUUCAAAAUAGAAAAUCACAACAAAAAAUAAUUAAACAAGUAAUAAAAUUGACAAUCAAGCAGAAUAAAUGGGUUGCCUCCCUUAAAGCACUUGCUUUAACGUCUUCCAGCCGGACGAUGAACACCUUCACUUCUCCUUGGAACCCACGGCAUGCAGUGGGAUCUCCUCCACAACAUGCUCCACAAAGUGCUCGUAGUAUGGCUUCAAGCGAUGUCCAUUCACCUUGAAUUCUUGCCCGGUUCUCAAGCUUUUAAUUUGGACUGCACCAUGCACAAAAAGAUUAGUAACAACAAACGGGCCAACCCACUUGGAACGUAACUUACCAGGGAAUAGACGAAGGCGGGAGUUGAACAACAACACUUUCUGCCCAAUUUCGAAAGUCUUGCCUCGAAGCAUCUUAUCAUGGAAUGCCGUGGUCUUCUCUUUGUAAAUUCUAGCAUUCUCAUAAGCUUCAUGGCUUAUCUCAUCAAGUUCACUCAAUUGAAGCUUUCGAUGAAUUCCGGCUUGGUCCACAUUCAAAUUGAAGGUCUUGAUGGCCCAAUGUGCUCUAUGUUCUAAUUCCACGGGAAGAUGACAUGGCUUGCCAUACAUAAGCCGAAAAGGAGACAUACCAAUAGGGGUUUUGUAAGCCGUUCGAUACGCCCAUAAUGCAUCAUCCAACCGUAAGCUCCAAUCUUUUCUAUUUGGCCCAACGGUCUUCUCCAAAAUCUGUUUGAUCUCACGAUUCGACACCUCGGGUUGGCCAUUGGUUUCGGGGUGGUAAGGUGUGGAGACCUUAUGCGUCACAUGGUACUUCUUGAGUAAUGCCUCAAUGGUACGGUUGCAAAAAUGAGACCCGCCAUCACUGAUUAGCACCCUAGGCAUCCCAAACCUAGAAAAGAUAUUAGUUUUCACAAAAUCUGCCACAACUUUAGAAUCGUUAGUUCGAGUGGCUUUCGCUUCCACCCACUUGGAAACAUAAUCAACGGCAAGUAAUAUGUAAGUGAAACCAAAAGAUGAAGGAAAAGGACCCAUAAAAUCGAUACCCCAAACAUCAAAGAUUUCAACAACAAAGAUGGGUACCUGCGGCAUUUGAUCUUUUUGGCCAAUAUUACCUGUCCUUUGGCAUCGAUCACAUGUUAAACAAAAGGUUCUAGCAUCUUUAAACAAAGUAGGCCAAUAAAUACCACAUUCAAGAACCUUAAAAGCUGUCCUUUGGGUGCCAAAGUGACCCCCACAUGCAUAUGUGUGACAAAAACUUAAAAUUGAGUGAAAAUCUGAUUCAUGCACACAUCUUCUUAUAAUCUGAUCUGAACAAUAUUUCCACAAGUAUGGGUCAUCCCAAACAUAAAAUCUAGCAUCCUUUUUAAGUUUAUCACGUUGGAAUUUGUUUAGGGUGCUAGGAACUUGUUUAGUCACCAAAUAAUUCACCAAAUCUGCGUACCAAGGAGCACUUACCUGAACGGACAAGAGUUGUUCAUCCGGAAAUGUUUCGGAGAUGGGAAGAUCCUCUUCUUCACGCACCAACCUGCUUAGGUGGUCGGCAACAACAUUAUCACUCCCCUUCUUGUCCUUGAUUUCGAUGUCAAACUCUUGAAGUAGAAGCAUCCAACGAAUGAGUCUAGGUUUAGCUUCUUUCUUGGUGAACAAGUACUUCAAGGCUGCAUGGUCAGUGAAAACAAUAACUUUAGUACCAAUUAGAUAUGAUCUAAAUUUAUCUAAAGCAAAUACAACCGCCAAGAGUUCUUUUUCGGUUGUAGAAUAAUUCAACUGAGCAUCAUUCAAAGUGCGUGAAGCAUAAUAAAUAACAUGUGGCUGUUUAUUCUUUCUUUGACCCAAAACAGCUCCAAGUGCAUAAUCCGAUGCAUCACACAUCAAUUCAAAGGGAAUGGACCAAUCCGGGGGAGUUAUGAUGGGUGCCGUGGUGAGGAGGUCCUUAAGAUGCUUGAAUGCUUGCUCACACGCCUCGUUGAACUCGAAAGGCACUUCCUUUUGUAGGAGACGGCAUAGGGGUUGUGCAAUCUUGGAAAAAUCCUUGAUAAAUCGUCUAUAGAAUCCUGCAUGACCAAGGAAAGAACGAACCUCUCUCACCGAAGUGGGAGAGGGUAAGUAGCGUACAAGAUCUAUUUUAGACUUAUCAACUUCAAUUCCACGUUCAGAGAUAAUAUGACCCAAAACAAUACCUUGUUUAACCAUAAAAUGGCAUUUCUCCCAAUUUAACACAAGGUUUGUUUCAACACAACGUUUCAAGAUUAAAGUGAGAUUAUCCAAGCAAUUAUCAAAGGAAUUACCAAACACACUAAAAUCAUCCAUGAAUAUCUCAAUAAUCCUCUCAACAUAAUCAGAAAAGAUGCUAACCAUACACCUUUGAACAUGGCAGGAGCAUUGCACAAACCGAAUGGCAUGCGUCGAUAUGCAAACGUUCCAAAGGGACAAGUAAAAGUGGUCUUUUCUUGAUCAUCCAGGGCAAUAACAAUUUGAUUAUAACCGGAGUAUCCAUCAAGAAAGCAAUAAAAGGAAUGACCGGCUAACCUUUCUAGCAUUUGAUCUAGGAAUGGCAAUGGGAAGUGAUCUUUUCUUGUGGUUGCAUUUAGCUUCCUAUAAUCAAUCCACACUCGCCAACCGGUUUGAAUUCGAGUGGGCACAAGCUCAUUCUCCGCAUUCUCCACAACCGUCACUCCAGAUUUCUUGGGUACACAUUGGAUAGGUGAAACCCAACGGCUAUCGAAGAUGGGAUAAAUCACCCCACAAUCUAGAAGUUUGAUUAUCUCAUUUUUCACCACUUCCAUCAUCGGAGGGUUAAGACGGCGUUGAGCCUCUCUAGUUGGUUUGGCCCCCUCCUCAAGAAAUAUGUGAUGCAUACAAGUCGUAGGGCUUAUACCUUUAAUAUCGGCCAAUGUCCAACCUAGGGCAGAUUUGAAUUCCUUCAAGACACGCACUAGCUUCUCCUCCUCUUGUGCCGUGAGGGAUGAGGAGAUGAUGGCAGGUAGUGUCUCGUUUUCCCCCAAAAAGAUGUACUUCAAAUGACUUGGUAGGGGUUUGAGAUCAAGUAUGGGUGCCUGAACGAUGGAUGGAAGCAACUUGUUAGUCGAAUUGGAAUGGAAUUAAAGUUAGGAGACUUACCACCAUGCUUAGGUAGUGACUCAAGGGCAGCAACCAACUCAAAAAUUUCAUCACUAGGAGGCAUGACAUGGCCUAGUCCAUGUAUGUCGUGGGUUACACUAGAAUCUGCCCCCUUGGUUGUGAGUUCCAUUCCUCGUGUAAUGACUUUUUCAAGCGCAUCGUCAUUCAAAUCUUCAAGAUAUCCUUGCGCCAAAGAGUCAAUUAUAUCAAUAGAGAAACAUGAAUGGUCCUCACUAGGGUACUUAAUGGAAUCAGAAAGAUUAAAAUUAACAACUUCCCUAUCAAAUUCCAUGGACAACGUUCCACUAUACAUGUCAAUCUUCGUCUGGGCCGUCUUCAUGAAUGGCCUUCCAAGGAGGAUGGGCAAUGAAGACGCAUGAUCCGAUUCAUCCAUUUCGAGCACAUAAAAAUCUGCUGGGAAGACUAAAUGAUCAACCUGCACCAAAACGUCUUCCAACACUCUUUUUGGAUAAGCGUUAGAUCUAUCGGCCAAUUGUAUGAUUACACCAUCAUGUUUCAACUCACCUAAGUUCAUAGAUACAUAAAUGGAGUAUGGCAUAACAUUUAUAGAGGCUCCUAAAUCUAGCAUGGCAGAUUUGAAACGAGUGUUACCAAUGACGCACGGAAUUGUAAAGCUACCCGGAUCUUUGCAUUUGGGGGGUAGUUUGCGUUGCAAGAUGGCGGAGACAUUCUCACCUACCUUUACCACUUCCUUAGUCGCCAUCCUCUUCCUAGUGGUGCACAACUCCUUCAAAAACUUGGCGUACCUCGGGACUUGCUUGAUUGCAUCCAACAAAGGUAUGUUUACUUGAACUUUCCUAAAUGUCUCAAGGAUGUCCUUUUCAACUUCCUCCUUCUUUGUUUGCAUAAACCUACUAGGAAAAGGAGCAUUCGAAGGAAAAACAUUAGUAGGAACCGAAUUUGACACAUUCUUACCUUUAUUGGCCAAUUUGGACAGAUUUGGGACAUUAGAAACUUGCGGCAAAGGUGCUCCCACCUUUGCCGUGAGUGGGCUUGCUUCCUCCUCUUCAAAUUGAAGUUUUUCAUCCUCUUUGUGACCUGUUUUUGAUGAAGAACCUGCCCCGAUCUCUUUUCCACUUCUCAAGAGUAUGGCCUUUGCACUUUCAAAGCCUCCCUUCGGGUUUGGAAUGGUAGAACUAGGAAGCCUUCCUUGGUCUCUAAUCUGCCCAACAACCUCGACAAUCUGCCCCAUUUGUUUUUCUAGUUGGUCCACUCUUUUGUUUUGAUUUUCCUGCCCAUUAGUCAAAGUGGUUAGUAACUUAACAAGUGUAUCAUUAUCCAAAGCAUUACCUGAAUUAUUUGGGGCAGAUUGUGGUUGGACUUGAGGGGGUGCGUAUGGUUUGUUGUAGAAGCCCGGGGGUUGUUGCCUAAAGCCUCCUUGUGGUUGGGCUUGUUGUGGCUCUCUCCAUUUGAAGUUUGGAUGGUCUCUCCACCCCGGAUUAUACGUGUUGGAAUAUGGAUCAUGUCUUGGCUGAUUUUGGCUUUGAAACCCAAUGGCAUUAGCGCUCUCCCAUCCACCAUUCUCAAUGAGUUGAGGACACUUUUCGGAUGCAUGUCCUUGGGUAGAACAUACGCCACACACCAUGGGUCCCUGAAUCUUCAUUCCCUCGGCCAUCUGUGAAACAAGAGAAGUAAGAUUAGCUAACUGAGAUUGAAUAUUGGAAGUGGAACUUACCUCAUGCACUUGUUGCCGUGGGGGUCCUCUUUGGCCUACACCUUCGUAUUGUUGAGCGUUCAAUGCUCGAUUAGCAAUCAAGAUUUUUGCAGCCAUGGGCGUUUUGUCUACCAAUGCUCCACCCGCCGAGGCAUCGAGCAUUUGACGUUCUAGUGGUAGGAGCCCUUCGUAGAAAUAUUGCAAAAGCAAUUCCUCCUUCAUCUGAUGUUGUGGACAAGAAGCAACAAGUGAUUUAAAUCGUUCAUAAUAUGUAGGAAAAGACUCACCUUCAUCUUGUUGAAUUCCACUUAUUUUUUUACAAAGAAGAAUGAUGCGAGAAGUUGGGAAAAACUUCUCCAGAAACGCCCUCUUCAUACUCUCCCAAGAUGUAACUGUACCGGGAGCCAACUCGUAUAACCAAUCCUUGGCUUUGUCCAUUAAAGAGAAUGGAAAAGCCUUCAUCUUUAAAAUACUUCCGUCAACGGUAAACGGAGUCAUACUUGAGCACACCACUUCAAAUUCUUUCAAAUUUUUGUUCGGAUCCUCCAUGGACAGCCCAUGGAACUUUGGAAUGUGGUGGAGCAAACUUGACUUUAACUCGAACUCUUCAGUUUUACCUUGAGCAGCCAUGGGAUAUUGGAUACACAAUGGUGCGGCAUUAUCCAAACCCGAGGCGGCAAGCUCCUUGAGCGUACGGUUGUCCAUGGCUAUACCUUGCUCUUCUCCACCCACUUGUGCCGUGGGCUUCUCUUCAACCUCAACUUCUUGUUCUUCUAAUUCAGGCUCGGGACUAGGAGGAUUAGACUCUUGCAAUUUCUUUUUCCUUCUCAAAGUCCUCUCAAAAUCACCGUCAAAGUCGGAGAUAUGCUCACGAACAGGUCGGGAACUUCGAGUCAUGCACUAGUACCUAAAAACAAAGAAAACAAAACAAAUCAGCAACUUAAACAGAAACUUAAACAAAAUACAAUAAUUCGAAAGAAAACAAUCCAAGAGAUUAGCAAAGUUGCUAAUCCCCGGCAACGGCGCCAAAAAUUUGAUGCGAAAUAUAUAAGCACACAAAUUAAACCCUCUUUUUAUCAAUUGUAGUAAAGUAUGUAAGUAUGGAUCGUUCUAGGCCGGGAUUAGGAGGGAUUGCUAAAUCACUUGGAAACUGACUUGAAAACGUAAAAACAAAGUUUAAAACACUAACUAGACUCAAAGAAUGCAAAACUAUACUUUAAAACACUAAAACAAACCAAAAGACUCAAAACAGCCCCUAAACACUCAAAACUACCUUAAACACACAAUCUGGGCAGUUUUGGGACUCUAACACAAACUUGGACGAAUUUUGGUUUUCUAAUGAACUAAAACACUUAAAAACAUAAUCUAAGACAAGUUCUAAUUAAUAUGACUCAAAGAAAUAAUAUGGGGUUGAUUUUGGACGAAAAUUAUUAAAUUAAGACAAGAACAAAGUAAACAAAUUCUUACACAAAUUUAAGUGAAUCAAAACAGAUUGUAAAAUGAAUUUGAAUGAAACUUAUGGAUGGAAGGCUAGCUAGGAGGUUCUUCUCCACACAUGUCACACUUGCAUACAAAACGAUUUCCAGUUGCUUUUCGAUAAGCUAUGAAUACUCAACGCCCCAAAUUAACCGUGAAUUGCACUAAUUAACCCUCAGUUUUUUCCACAAGUUAUUGGGUUGGAUGAUUGCAUACGACAACCCAAAACAUUCCCUACAAGUUCCCUACAUGAAUUGCAUAAUAGAGAUACAAGCAAGAAUCAUUAAGUUCUAUGAAAAACAUAAGCAUUGGCGAAGCACUCGUUACUAUGAUUUGCAUGAAACUUAUGCCAAGAAUUUACUUAACGUGAUUGUGACAAGCAACCUUCAUUACUUGUGAAUAUAAGUUCAUAACGAUUAGGUGAAACUCCCUUAUAUUCUAGCGUUAAAUUCAUGCAUGAAAAUUAAGCGUGCACUCUCAACCAACAUACACAAAUCAUUUUUUAUACGAUCGGAUAAGUAAAUUGAAUUCACAACUUAUGAAUCACAACUGGAUGUAAUCAAAUCAUAUUGCAAGUAUGAACAUGGUUUCGAAUCACCCCCUAACUAAGAGGGGUUUAGUUCCUCAUACUCACAAAGCAAAGAUACAUAAAAAUUAGACAUUAAAAUCAAAGGAAAGAAAACACCUAAAAUGCUCCAACUUGGGUAGCAAGUGCAUCCAAGAAUUCUCCUUUGCUUGCUUGCGGCAGAUUGCUUUGUGGACGGGUUUUUGGGUAGUUUUAUGAUGUAGAAUGGAUGGGGAAUGGUAUGGAAAGGUUUAGGGUAAGUGUGGGUGGAGUGUUUGAGGGUUGGAGGGUGGUGGAGAACUAGGCAAAGAGGGUGGAAGAAGGUGGAGUGGCUGUUAUGUUUUCUAGGCACUAGAAUGGUGUUUUUGGGGUGUUUUGCUACCUAGGGUGAGUAUGGACGAAUUUCUGUGAUGAAUGGUGAAUAUGAGAGUGUGAACCCUUUGCCAAGGGGUGUAAACAUGUAUAUAUAGGCCCCAAAAACCUUAGAGAAUCAGGUUAGGCUAGGGAGAAUGCAAGGCAAAGAGUGUAUGUGGUGUGCAAUGGUCCAAGGGUGAAAAUGAAGUGAUGAUGCAAAGUGUGAAGGGUAAAAUGGAGUGGUCUUGUAGCUAGGGAGCAUGAAUGAUUGUGUACAUUGCAUAGAGAUGGAAAGGGAGGUGAAAAUGUGUCAAUAAAUGGGUCAAAGGUGCAGCAACAUGUGGUACACAAGGCAUGGGAUUCCAAAUGUGAAUGAUGGAGCAUCAAUUGGUGCAUGUUAUGGUUGUGAAAGUUGUAUAAAAUUUUGUGGGUGAAGGGAACAAGAGGUAUCAAGCAAUUAAGUGUAAUAAUUAAAUGAAUAGAAGCAUGAAAUCAGAAAUUAUGUAGGGGACAAGAGUGAUCAAGCAUGGCAUGGGAAUCCAAAGGGAAUUCUAUGUUGUUUUGCAUGGCAAUGAAGGCAAGUUGGGGUGACAAAUUUUUGGGCUGAGUUCUUCAUCUUUUGGACCAUAAUUCUUCACAUUCUUGGCCUCUUUAGUUCUCAAAUUCGUCCAUCCACUUUGGCCCAAAUAUGUGACAUGCAUUCCAAGCUUCAUUUUGCUCCAAAAUGCAUCUUCUUGCCUACUUUGUCCAUAAAAUCUGAAAACACAUGAAAAUGACUUUAAACAUUAAAAUAACUAAGGAAACACGACAUAAAUGCACAAGAACAAGCCAACUAAGUCGCAUAAAUAUGCUCCUAUCAACGGCGACAAAUGUUGAUGCACAAAACCGAAGGUCUUGGAACAACGUAAAUCCGACCGUGAAUCUGCAAGAAAUGUAAAGAACACAAGAUGUAUCGUGGUUCACCCCAAUGUUUGGGCUAUGUCCACACUGAUAUUGUAUUUCUCUGUUUGUGAGAGGAUUGAGAGGGUGAGAGCUUUGCUUUGAAUAUAAGAGGGGAUGUGAGGCUUUGGGGAUCACAUGCCUAGGAAUUGGCCUCCCCUAAUGAGGAGAGUGAGGAGUUCUUUUAUAGAAUAAGGGCUCCUCACUUAUUACAUAUUUGCCCCUUCCUUUAUUACAUAAUUACAUUUGAGUCCCCCGAGUAUUUAUACGAGGUCUAAAUAUGGAGGCCCUAAGUAUGGUACAAACAAAGUUGUUCAAAGCAAAUGGAACUCCAUGUAAAGCUAUUGAACAUAUCCAUAUUCGCCAUGAGGUCGAGGUAGUCUAGAUUCAUAGCAACAUUGUUCUUCGCCCUUAUCAAUAUAGCCUCAACAAAGUAUUUUAGACCUAGCUUGAAGGCAUUGUCCAUGUUUUUGCACUCCUUAAAAACCCUUUCAAGCUUACCGCAAGUCCUGGAUAUUUUUGGUGACUUUUCUGGGGACGGCCUUGGCUUUACCUUUCCCUUUUUCUUUCAUCCCCUUACUACUUUCUCCUACCAACCCUAAUUUCCUGGGAAAAUACUCCCUGAGCAGUCUAAUCCUUUGUGGCUCAACCUUUAUGUCAUAAGGCAGAAGUCCCCGUUUUAUGAACUAGGUCAAUUCACAAACUAUUAAAUAGGUCAGCCCCUCUAGGUUUGUAACCUCUUGAUUUGCCACUCUACAGAGCGACAACUCAUGGAUCAACUGCCCACUGAAGGCCAAUACAUCCACACCUAGAAGGUGGCCAAAGCAGGAUGUCCUAAAGGCACCAAGUUGUGCCUCAUUAAACUUCUCCCUAAUCAAUCCUAACAUGCAUAAUUAAUCUUACACCUAACUUAAUUUAUACUACUUAACAGAAAUAACAAAUUAAAUUCUAGGGUUCAAUUUUCAAAACUCACCAGAUUUGAAAUUCACCAGGGGAAUUAAAUAUGAGGUCAGUUAUCGUAGAAGCACUCUGAACCCAACUCCAAUGAAGUGAAAAACAUGUCCUUUUUGUGGAAUCAACUGCACAGCUUUCAACCAAACUCCCCUAAUUUUCUUCUAUGCUGUAUGGAAUUUUUGUGAGGCCAGAGAACACAUGCACAGACCAACUGUACCUGAGUUUGGAACGGGAAACAAGUUUUCGAAUUGGAAGGAUGUUUUUCGACGACAACAAUAUUUGAGGAAGAGGGAGUGUCUUUGGAGGAGGACAAGACUUACUAAAGGCGAUAAGUGUUGAUGUUGGGGGGAUAGUUUAAAUCCUAAGAAAUUUUGAAUUCAUGCCAGUUACCAUUUUAAUUAAGUGACGGGUCAUCUAUGACCCAGUUUCACCCUAAGAUCAUUAUGAUAGAUUCGUUUUCAGCCGGUCAAAUUUUUAUGCAACGGCCUAGUGGUUCUUUCUCUCACGUAAUUUUGCCCUCCCGUUCCACUCUAUAUGAUACUAAUAUUUCUAUCAAGCAUAAGUUCUAUUACAAGUCAUCGAUGUAUUUCCAAAUUUUUUUGUGAUUCAGUUAUAACGAUUAGUCCUUGAAUUUAGAAAGAAUAUUAGAAUAAAACAAGAGCCCUCUUCAAUUUAAUAGUGGUUAGAUUUCGAGACGAAAAAAAACUCCCGUUCUAUCAAAAUAUCAAAUAUCUACCAAAAAAAUUCCCGUACGCACUCAUAAUCCUCAAAGUACGGCCCGCACCUUAGAAAUCGCAUUGUAAUGAUCACGUAUUUGUUGUUUAGGGGCUGAGCAUGGCUCUAAGGCCUGCUGUGAAUACCCAUUAAAACCCAAAUUCUUAGGUGGGCUUUAGAUUAUGACGUGGCAAAGUGUGGGAAGCCGAAAAAGCCUCUACGAUCGAUUUGUCCAAAACAGAUAAAGAAGACACAAAACUCAAAAAUAAAGAAAGAAAAGAGAAGCCUGGCAAGUAUUCCUUCUGCUACAAUCUCUCCCUCCCUCUCUCUCCCUCCCUCUCUCUCUCUCCAGUCGGUCUCUCUUGUCUCUCUCGCUAAUUGGUGAGUCGAGUAAGCUAAUACUCUCUCUCUCUCUUGAUAGUAUAGUUGUUUUAUGCAUAGGCUGGAUUUUGCUUUUCCUUCUCGUUAGGGUUUGUUCAAUUUCGCGGAAAUCAUCCAUACUUAGCAGAAACUGAAUGAAAAAAAAGCAAAGAAAUUUAGUAAGGAAGUGACAACCCAUGUAGCUAAGCGUGUGCUGAACAAGGACUUGGAACACUGCCUCUUUGCCUGGUCUCUUCCAAUUUGCCUCUUCUUUUAUUUACCACAUAUCUCUUUUGUUUUAAUUGUUUCCCUUGUAUAUUUUUGCAUAAUCUAUCUGGGUUUUUGAUCGUUGUUCCGAUUUCGACUGGAAUUUCGAUGAAGUUGGCAUGUUUUAUGGUCGAUUCGGGUUUAAAUAGUUAUGUUAAUUCAUGGGUUUUUUUGCGCUUGGAAGAGCAUUGAACUGUUUGUGCUUCCGUUGUUUUUGCAGUUAAAUGCUUUGGAGUGGAGUCUGAUAGUUGCAGCUCCAUUAUAUCUUCGUAAAAGGGUACGUGCUACUUGUAUAAGUUUUCACGUUAUGGCAUCUUCUCAUGGCAAUACAAACUCUGAAGCAGCAAAAGUAAUGGAACAAAUAAUCACUGAAUUCUAUGCCAAAAGUCUCCACAUAAUCCUUGAAUCCAGGACUCCAUAUAUGUCCUCGCGUAAUUUUAGUGGUGAACGAACCCUAUCAUCGCCGUCCUCAUCCUCAUCAUCCUCAUCGAGUGUGAGGCCGAGGGAUAAGUGGUUUAAUCUAGCUCUUAAGGAAUGCCCUGCUGCACUGGAGAAUCUUGAUCUCUUCUGCAGCCAGGGCCAUUUUGAACCUGUGGUGGUUGAUGUGAUUAUGGUUCAGAGACCACUUGAUUGUGACCUGGUGAAGUGUUCACCUAAAAGGGAUCUUACUAGGAACUCGUCAUUGAAAGAGCGUUAUCCAUACUGUUGGAAUUAUGAGCAGGACGAAUUUGGGUGUGAUGCAAAGAGUGAAAAGAUUAUUGAGAGAUGGGUUGUGCAGUAUGAGAAUCGGAAGAUCAGAGACACAAAUUCAGGAAGCAGGAGGUCGAGCAAUAAUAAUUUGUCUACAUUGUAUAAGAAAUCAAUGUUACUUUUGAGAUCUUUGUAUGUCACUGUUAGGCUAUUACCUGCGUACAAAGUUUAUCGCGACCUCAUUUCAUCUGGACAAAUUUGGCCAUUUGCUAUCACUCACCGGGUAUCCUCUUUUGCUGAGAACUUCACUUGUAGAGAAGAAGCAGAAAUGCAGCGGUUCGGGUUCACCCCUGUGGAUACAGCUGGUGGCAGGCUUUGUCUUUCUGUAUUGUAUUGUUUAUCACUUUCAGAUGUAAGCUCUGAACCAUCAACUCCUAUGUCUUCACAACUUAUUCCGGACUAUGUUGGCAGCCCAUUGACAGACCCUCUUAAAAGGUUCCCAUCACUUCCUGUUACAGGAACAGUAGCACAUGCCCAUCCAUCAUCGUCCCCAUUCUCAAGGCGGCAUAGUUGGAGUUUUGACCAUUAUAGAGCUUCACCACCUUCAGUUUCUUUCUCACCUUCACCUACAUAUUCAGAACCACAUACUUUGAUUUCUAAUCCAGGUACUCGUCGUUUUCAACCAAAAACCUUGCCACCUCAUCCGCCUGAAACAUCUCAUGUUCAUAAAAAGGAUUCAACCUUUGAUGAGUAUUGUCCUUCACCUGCCGUUUCUCCCUCACAAUCCUCAGCUGCACCGUCAUUGCCAAUCUUUAUUCCUGGGAGUCAUCCUUCAAAGCCUCUUUUACAAUCUGAGAGUGCACCAGUUAGCGAACCGGCGGCUAAACUUGCUAAUUUCCCUGCAUAUUCCAACAAGCUAAAUUUUCCUGUAAGAGGAACUGGAUCUGGAAGUUUUAAGAGUUGUAAAACUACAGGUUUUAGUCAGCCUGGUACUGCGGUUGAGAAGGUAUUGUAGAUGCUUAUAACUGUGAAAGUUUCAUUAGAAAUUUGUUGUCUUUAUUUAAUGUUUGUUAUUUUAAUGCAGUUGUUUUCUUUUGGGAAAGAUGAAGCUAGACAAUAUUCUGGGGUGAAAUCCAGCAGCUCCAGUAGGUCUUUUCCUGAUGAUUUUGAUGAUACUGAGUUUCCUUGCCCAUUUGAUGUGGAUGAUGAUGAUGUGACAGAUCCAGGCAGCAGGUAAUUUCUGCUAGUAUUUUACACAUGAUGUUCCACAUGCUGUCCUUUUUGUUAGUUUCUCUAUGCAAUGCGCAGUUAGUUUUGAUUCUUUGGAAAUAACUUGCAAGUCAAACGGUUAAUAAUUAUCUACAAUUGUAACGGGGCAAGGAGGGGUAGCUGCACUGUCAACAUAGUACAGGCAUUCAUCAUUGAAUAACCAAGUGAUGUGAGAUUGAUUAGUCAGAAAUUAGAAGGAAGCAUUCUAUAAGAUAAAUUAUUUCUUUUCUAUAGGUUAGUUGGUUAACAGCUUAAUAUACGAGUAACUCACAUUCAUACAGUGUUGUAAUGUGUUGCACCAUGCUUGGUACAUGAAGGGCCGCCCAUUUUAGUUGAAGCCCAUGAAAUGAUUUGGGACAUAUGGGCAAUACAUAAGUAUACUUGCUAAAGGGACUCACGUUAGUUGUCGUGCUUUACACUUCUUUGCUCCUUUUUAUUCAGAGAAACGUAAUAUUGCCUGAUGCAGUAGAUGCAUGCUAAGGAGUACAAUCAUCUUUUGAAUAGUCAUCUCUUAAUAAAUAUAUGUAAAAUUGUAGCUACAAAAAGUCGAUCUCAAGCAUCAAAGUCCUCAUGCACAUUAAACCAUUUAUUUGUUAAAAUAAGGUCUUUAGUUUAUGGGUGAGCUAUUAUGUUCUCUGCAUCUGGUCAUAGAGUUCAAUGUCGAGCAUUCUUUUAGAUUCUCUUGAUUUGUUUAUGAAAUGCAUAUGGCCCUUUCAAAUGUAUAGAUUUGGUUUUGCUAAUGGGAUGUGAUCUUAUCUUUUUGCCUCAGACCUGAAUCUUUUGACAAACAUGUACCCCUAUGUGAGCCACAUGAGUUUGAAGGGUUGUUUACAAUUAAAAAAUCCCAAGAUGCUGCUGUUGGGGCGCUUGUACAGAUGUUAAGGAAAGCUCCACCUCUCCGGCAGGAUCACUCGAAUUCAGUAAAUUUGUCACAGGCAGGCAGGCCUGAAAUCUGGAGCAACUGUAGCCAAGAGCCUAAUCGGUCUUCUGAGGGACAGGCAUCAGUUCAGCGUGCUGGUUCGUCAAGCAUCGUUUCAUCUGGGCUCAUAUCAUCAAAAACUACUGCCGAUGCAUUACGAGAGCUCCAGGGUUACAGGGACAUGAAAAACUCGUUAAUCGGGAAAGGCAGUAAGCCUCACAUCUAGUCCAAAUAUGUUUGCAGCCAUUUUGAAUAUAUUUACAGCACUUUGGUUUUCACUUUUCUUGGUUUCAUUUUGAAUGGCUGAAAAUUUUAUUUUGUGGCGUCCACUUCCAUAUGUACAUAUAUUUGAGAAAAUUUGAUUAUAUAAGUUUAACGACGAUGUAUAUAAUUAAGUUACAGGUUUCCUUACUAACUUCUAUGUCCAUAAUGCUUACGCAUCCUUUACUAUCGUAGUUUUGUAAUAAUUCUAAUUGGCUUGUUGGCUCGAAAGUGAUGCUUUUAUUUUGCUACGGUAUACUUGUGUUUUUCAGAUUGGUGUAGGCAUCGAGGAUCCAUUUGAUCGAAGAUCCGCUCAAUAUACUAUGGUUUGAAAAACCACCAAGAAUGUUCAAAUCUUGAAAUUGUUUUUACAGUUUUGUUCUUGGUGUUCAUAAUGUAUUUGUUGUGUUCUUCAUUUAAUUUUGAUUUGGGUGUUAAUCUUUGUUUAAGUUUUAAUGUUUCCCUAGAAUCACACCAUCCUAGGCAAACUAGGAAACCGCACUAACAAAAGAACAAAAGUUGACAAAAGGAGAUGAGGACGUCCUUUUUGUAUAAACAUCAAUGUUUGGUUUUCUCUUCCCUCUCCCCACACCUAUAGCCGGCUUUACCCAAGAGCCCAAUGUGGGAUCUUUUGCAAUUUUAAAAAAGUUGCUCAAGUUUGUUGUGUUUGUGGUUUGACCCAAAACUUUUCAAUAUUUGCAAUUUAACCCUACCUCACUAGAAGACAAUAUUUUGAUUACAAUUAGACCCAUAUGUACUAAAUCCAAUUGUUUAUGUUGCAUUCCAAUUCAAUUAUUUUAUAUGAUUAAGUAGUUAGUAGAUUGUUGACUAUUAACUUGUGUCUUACAAUGAUAACUAAUCUAUGAGAUUGAACACUAAUUUAGAGAGUUUGAACCAUGAAAAUGUGUUUUAAUUAUCAAUUCAAUUGGACCACAAUACGUUAGACAUUAAUUCAAAGAGUUUUGAAUCAUGGGAAUGUCUUUCAUUCAAGUUAUUGACAUGAAUAUGUUAAAUAAGUUCAAGUAAUCGUCAUUAGCAAUAAAGAAAAAGUAAAUUUUAUUAAGAAACUUAAGGGAGUGUAGUCCAUGGAAUUAAAAAAAAUGCAAAAAUAAAAUACAAUUUGUGAACACGGAAAAUUCCUGAAACGAAAGAGACAAGAACAACGUGCAUAAACAAAUAUUUGUAUUUGAUGAUUUUGGGUUACAAUCUCUCUCUAAUUUGAUCCUCUGAUUUCGAUCUCCGUAAGGUGUGUUGAUUUGUGGAUAAUUUCGUUAAUCCAAGGUUUGAUCGCCGUGCGAGGUCUUGGAUGAACUGUUGGAAGUUUCUUCAAAGGGGCCGUGGGGCUUGAUCCUUCUUUGAAGGUGGAAUUUGAAGCUUGGGGCUUAGCUGAGCCGAUGGGGCUCUUGAUCUUGAAGAAACGGUGAUGAACGGAUCUUCAAGGGCUUUUGGGCUUAAUCUUGAGAGAACGGUUUGUGAUGUGAUUAGGUCGACGUUGUUGGAUCCAAAGGGCCGUUGGGGCUUGAUCUUGGAUGAAACGGAUUGAUUGGUUUCAAGGGCCGUUGGGGCUGAUCUUGUGGGAUUGCAGGUGAUUCAAAUUCUUCAAGGGCGUUGGGCUUGAUCCUUGAACUUGAUGGAUUGGAAGAUUUUGGUUCUUGCAUCAAGGGCUCGUUGGGGCGAUUUGAUCUGGGGGAAGUUCUUGGCGGUGAACGAAGAAGAAGAGCUUCUUCGAUCGAUUCGGGAUUGCUGAAGAGCUUGCUUGAGAGCUUCGGAGUUUCAGAGCUUCAAGAGCUUCAAGGUGUAAUCUGAAUUCCCCCCCCCCCAAAUGAAUGAAAUGGGCUUGUAUUUAUAGAAUUUUCCAAGGCCAAUUUCCUGAUAUAAUUGAAUAUCCCAGAUGAAAUAUAUAAAUAAGUUGUUCUGCCUGGGUGUUGACACGUGUCCUAUUUGAUGACUUUUCCAACUCAUUUCAAUUUUCGUUGAGUCGCCACGCUACUACGUGUAAAAUUUAUGUAAUACAUGAGCGUUGACACUUUAUUUAUUUAUCGGUCAAAUUUAUUUAUUUUACCGAAAUUUUCGAUGUCUACAAAUGCCCCCACUUCAAGGCGCGUCGUAUACAUGUGCUUGUCACGUGUAGGAGAUGCGUUUUGAAGUCCCUUACUGUAGAUAUCGAUCCAAAGGCCGUCGAUGCUUGAUCUUGAAUUGGGCUGGAGAUUUCUUCAAGGGCCGUUGAGGCUUGUUCUUGAACUUUUGUUUGAAAUUUCUUCAAGGGCCGUUGAGGCUUGUUCUUGAACUUUUGUUUGAAAUUUCUUCAAGGGCCGUUGAGGCUUGAUCUUGAAGGUUGAAAUUGGACCACAAGGAGCUUCAUGUGGUAGAUGAUCUUUGGUUUUGGUAGUGGGUGAAUCGGCACAUAUUUUGUUGCACUUGUUGACUUUCCACAGCUUUGAUCUUGAACUGGGUUGGAGGAUUUUCUGGAUUCCUCCAAUUGUUGAUUUUCCACAGCUUAUUCUUGAACUAGGUUUUGAUUCAAGGGUGGUAGACACUUAAUCUUGAAUCGGACUUGUGAUUUCUUCAAUGGCCGUCGAAGCUUUGAUCUUGAAUUUGGCUGGAAACUUCUUCAAGGGCCGUCGAGGCUUGAUUCUUGAAGGUUGACUCGAACAUAUUGCAAGCAGGCACGAGGUGAAGGUGACGACUUGUUGCUUUGUUCAAUCUUUCUAAUUCACACCUGAGCAGUUUGGUCAGCGGUAUGAUCUUCAAGAUUGAUGGGCUCUUCUUCCAGUUGGUGACUUGAUCUUUAAGGAUUUGAUUCAAGGGUAAUGAAUCGGCAUGUGCAGCCCACAACGCCUAGUAAGUCGACCCAAAAAUUUGAGGGUCAAAACGAGUUCUUCAUCUCAGACUCUUUCUGCCGAGUUGACUGUGCAUGCUGCAUUCUUCUCUGCUUGUUUCUUCAGGCAGAUAUGGCAGCUUUUCGAGUUUUUCAGCUCGGACUCAUUCUGCUGAGUUGACUGUGCAGACUGCAUUCUUCUCUGCUUGUUCCUUCUGCACCUUGUCUCCACAUGCUGCAAGGUAUCAUUUUCACUUGCCUUAUCUGUUCUCCAGGCAGAUGUGGCAGCUUCGUUGGAAGUACAGCAGCAGUGGGAAACGAGUACUCGAGAGCAGUGCUAGGUAGGCGAUCAGAGAAGGGUUCCAAGCAGUCGGUUCCUUACCCGAGUUUAAGUGGAAGUUCCGGCAUAUUGUUUUCUUUAUCCUUGUCUUUGUAGGUAAGAACAAGGACAAAGGAAAGGACAGGGAGAACGCAUGAUAUGAGAUACUCUUACUUUCUACCCUGGUGAUAUGAGAUACUUUUGCUUUGGAGUCAUUGGCUUGCAGAGGUACCCCAAGGAAUAAGGAACACUGAAUGACUCGAGAGGCUUCGUUGGGAAAGCAUCUUUGGAGAUGAAGAAAGACUCUGUGUGUCUGCCUUGCUAUGGAAGGUGAAGGUGGACAGUUAUAGGAAGUCCCUUAAUACCUGUAGAGGUACUAUUCUUUCACUCGUGUCGGCAACUAACGCGUGAUUGAACAGUAAACUUCACGUGCUUUCUCCUUCACCGAAAAUCUUCGACAAAUUGCCCGUGAUUUGCGCAAAGUUGAGUGUGCAUAUGACAGGUGAUGACGUGGCUAAAAAAGACUGGCGCCUCUUCGAUAUCUGGGAUUGGUGCUUUGAAAAAUUACUCGUGAUUUCCGCAAAGCUGAGUUUGCGUGUGACGGGUGCCGACACGUCUGGAAAAGCAAGAUGCUUCUCCGAUUUCUGAGCUUGCCUCUUCGAUUUUUGAAUGGCCUCUUCGAAUUCUGAGCUCGCCUCUUCGAUCUCUGAAAUCCCAUCGAGUGCUGAUUUUUUUAUAGAGGCAUGCAGUUCGUUUCAAAGCACACUUGAAUUUUCGCUUGUGAAAACUCCCCUCUUGUACUUCUAAGAUCUUGAUUUGUCCGAUCUCUUCUUCCUUCAACACUUUGAAAAUGUCUGGACCCUCCGACCGUCGUUUUGAUUUGAACCUUGGUGAAGAAGUAGUCUCGUCUUCUCCAGAUAACAUAUGGCGCCCAUCCUUCAUAUCCCCUACUGGUCCUCUUACUGUUGGGGAUUCGGUGAUGAAGAAUGAUAUGACCGCUGCGGUGGUGGCCCGGAACCUUGUCACUCCCAAAGAUAACAGACUACUUUCCAGGCGGUCUGAUGAGUUGGCUGUUAAGGAGUCCUUGGCUCUUAGUGUGCAGUGUGCGGGUUCUGUGUCCAACAUGGCCCAACGCCUAUUUGCUCGAACCCGUCAAGUUGAAUCGUUGGCGGCUGAAGUGAUGAGUCUCAAACAGGAGAUCAGAGGGCUCAAGCAUGAGAAUAAAUAGUUGCACAAGCUCGCACACAACUAUGCCAUAAACAUGAAGAGGAAAAUUGACCAGAUGCAGGAAUCUGAUGGUCAGAUUUUACUUGAUCAUCGGAGGUUUGUGGGUUUGUUCCAACAACAUUUGCCUUCGUCUUCUGGGGCUGUACCGCGUAAUGAAGCUCCAAAUGAUCAACCUUUGGCGCCUCCUCUUCCUGGAGUUCCGCCGAGUGGUGCGGCUUCAAACAGUCAACCUCCGGCGCCUCUCAUUUCUGGAGCUCUGCGGAGUGGUGAGGCGGUCCGCGAGCAAUGAAGGCUUAUUCCUGUUUGUUUGCACUUUUUUUUUUUGUAAUUUUUUUUUUUUGGCACGUGGAAUGUGAAUUUAUGUAAUUUUUCCAGAGAAAUAAAUAAAAUGGACUUUAUCUCACUCAAUCAUUUUUUUUUCAGUGCUAUAUAUUAUAUGCAUACACACACAUGCCCCAUCAUGAUUCUUUUAUAUGUAUUUUUUUUUUCUAUUCCUUGCUUUUGGUGGUGCUGGCACCCAUCAUUACUUCCCCCUUUUUUUUUUUUAUCACAUUUUUUUCUUCUUUUCAGAAGGGUGCCCAUGCAAAACCCAUGCUGCACCAUUCCAAUUGCCCUUUUAUAAUAUAUAUAUAUAUAUAUAUAUAUAUAUAUAUAUAUAUAUAUUCUUUUUUUCUUUUUUUUUUUUUUUUGCUUUCACAUGGUGCUGAUCCACCAUUCCCCUUUUCUUUUCUUUUUUUUCACGUGGUGCCAGAUGCACCAUCACCUCCCUUUUUUUUUUUUUUAAUAUAUUUUUUUUUCUGUAUAAAUUUGGGUGAUGGGUAGACGAAUUUGCAGGGAGCGGAGCAAGGAGGACGGAGAAGAUGGUGCUUCGAGCUUCACGACUGGCUAGUCGUUUGACGGCGGUCGUUGAAGUCGUUGGCAGCUGCGAGGCAAGAGACGAAGGAGGUCUUUGGGUGUGUAUUGAUAAACUUGGGUUUUGUCAAUCUCAUUCAAAGGCGGCGGCCAUGGCGAAGGUGCAGAGGAAGACGUUCCACCACUACCGUCACUGAGCACAACCCCUGAGCACAACCAUUGCACUAACUGUUGCACUGCCGUUGCUGCGCUGCUGUUGUGACAACCACUGCCCACUGCUUGCUACCGCGACGUCUACCCAUAGUGCCAGCCUUUUAAGUACGCCGCGACAUCAAAUCCUAGAAGGAGCUCUUUGAUAGGCACAGGAACAUCUUGAUGCAGAAAUGGAACUGGCUCCAGACGGCCGUGCUCUCAACUUCCCUCUCCACAAACAUUUGCUUUCUGUAACAACUAACCAUCCUAUUGCUAUCGCCACCCGUCCCGUCUUCGCCGGCGUUCCUCAAGCUUGGGUUUUUGUCUUGCAAAUAUACCCACGGAUCAUCUCCUAGUUUGUGCAAGUCUGUCACUGCCAAAUCGCCAGAUUUUGAACACAAAUUGAACAGAGUCGACUCCUCAGCGUCGGCGUCCACGUAGGCGAAUGAGUCCCCGAAGAGACUGCUCUGGCCUCCAACUUCUUCCAGUUGAUUGAUCGAAACCAUUUAUGGCUUUUGACGUUAUCCCCUCCAUUCGGCCCGUUACCUAACCUCUGUGACGGAUCCUUUUGUACCAAUCCUUUCAGCAGAGAGUGAGCUUCGCUGGUUAGAUACGACGGGAGUUUAACUUUCUCCUUGAUGAUUCUCUCCUUAAGUUUCUUUCUGUUUGCGUGUGUAAAUGGUGGCUGCCCUUUUAGCAUCUCAUACAAAAGUAUACCGAUGCUCCACCAAUCCGCAUCUUUGUUAUGGCCCUUCGACAGCAAAAUUUCUGGAGCCAUGUACUCUGUGGUGCCACACAUUGAAUUCGAUCUGCUGGCUUCGUCAAUUUCCUUUGCUAGCCCAAAAUCAGUUAGCAUGACAUGCCCAUCAGAAUCCACAAGAACAUUUUCAGGUUUAAGGUCACGAUAGACAAUCCCGCACUUGUGAAGAUGUGCAACAGUAGACACUAUCUCAGCAGUAUAAAACCUCGCCUGAUCCUCGCUGAAGAUUCCCUGCCGGUAUAGAUGAAAGAAGAGAUGCCCUCCGUUUAUAAAAUCCAUGAUCAAGUAAAGCUUAGAGUUGGUCUGGAAAGAUGGUGCGAAUUGCUGGGCUUGAAGUCCUUCCUGAACAUACCGGUAACGCCGCCGCCGAACUUGCUUGUUCCAACGACGUCGUUGAGUAAUUGCAGUAGCUCCGAUGUACGGUCGAUGUGGAAAUCCCAGGAAUCAGAGAGGAGGUUGAGGGAUCCAAUAGACGAAGGGAGACGGGACCGGGGCGAGCUCAUCGGACUGCAGGAGCCCUCCACUUUUCACUUUCUCUCUUUCUCUGUACAGGCUCGGAACUUGGAAACAAUUUCCCGAUGUAAGCUUCUACAGUUCAACAAUUUCAAGUUCAAUUUUUGCAAACCAUUUGACCAUUUAUUUGUGGGUAUUUACUUGCAUUUACUGUUCUUCCUCGGCAGAGUGACGAAAGCGGAGAUUUCCCAUGGGAUAAUGCCGGUGAGAGAAUUGCGGCUUAGAUUCAAGCUGAGAAGCUUCUCGCAGUGCCCGAUGUCCCAUGGGAUCGAGCCGUUAAAGUCGUUACGUUGAAGUUCGAUCCUGUACAAGCUUUGGCAGCCAAUGAAGUCGGGGAUUUUUCCUGUGAGGUGGUUGGAGCUAGCAGAGAAGAUCUGUAGAUUUGGUGCGCGCCAGAUGUUUGACGGAAGGACUGAGUGCAAUGGGUUCAGCAAAAUGUUCAAGUAACUGAGAGCUUCGACAUUGCCGAGAUCUUCCGGGAUCAUGCCUGUGAAAUUGUUGCCGCUCAAAUCGACGAAGGUUAGAUUGGGUAAUAACCCGAAACCAGUCGGAACCGACCCGUUGAUUUGGUUGUUUUGGAUUCGGAGUCUGAACAGAGAAGUGCAGUUUGCUAAGGUUUUGGGAAGAGGGUCGGUGAACCGGUUGGAGAAAAGUAUGAGCUUUUGGAGCUUGUUACCGUCGCAGAUUUGGUGGGAUCGGGCUGGAGAGAAAGUUCCGGGAGAGGUCGAGGUCGGUGGCUGUAUCAUGCCCGCCGGGACGGUGCCAAUAGGCCAUUUUCUCGAGAAGUCGGCGAUUCUGAGGGCGGUGGGUCGAGAACGGUCUUGAACUAAGGGAAGGUGGUUCCAGGCGAACUGAGCGGCAAGGAGAUUGCCGGACCAGCUAUGGCUGGGAUGGGUGGAAAAGGAGGUGGUACAUAGAGAGGUGGUGGUUGCGGUUUCCAUAAAGCUUUUGAAGCUGCUAUUCCUGCUUGGAGCAGGGCCGUGACUACCAGGCACAUUGGAGGUGGAUGGUGCUGCUUCCAUACUGCAAGAAAUGGGAGAUGGGCCUUGAUUUGUAACUGAAGUCUGAGCAGGCAUUGGACUUGAUCGCGGAUUGGGCUUGGGGGCUGCCACUUCGGCCUGGAUGGCCUCCUUCUGAGAGGCUUGCUGCUGAUGGAUAUAUAUACAUACAUAUAUAUAUAUGUAUAUAUAUAUGUAUACGUAUGUAAAAGAACUCUAUUUUUUUUUGUUUUUUUUUAAUACAUAAAACAUAUUUAUAUUUUUUGUAAACAAGUAAUAACAUAUGUAUUCCUUUUUUUUUUUUUCUUCUUUUUGGAUACAUAAAACAUAUGUAUUUUUUUUUAAACAUAUAUUCUUUUUAUUUUGAUGUGACUGAACUCGAAAUUUUGGAAUAUUCAAGCUGCCUACGUACCCUUCCAAAGAAGAGAUCAAGUCGUAACGUAGUUCAAAUACAUACAUAUUUUUGGUAUUUUCUUUUUGUGCCGUUUGCAGUUUUAACUCAUGCAGGCAAGGAGCAUUUGGUGCCGUGUUGCAGUUUCAGCUCGUGCAGGCAAGGAGCGUUGGUUCGUGCAGUUUAGGCUCGUGCGAACAAGGAGCUUAGUGCCAUGCAGUUUAGGCUCGUGCAGGCGAGGAGCCUCGUGUCCUACAGUUUAGGCUCGUGCGGACAAGGAGCUUAGUGUCAUGCAGUUUAGGCUCGUGCAGGCGAGGAGCCUCGUGUCCUACAGUUUAGGCUCGUGCGGACAAGGAGCUUUGUGAAUUUGUCAAACGAUCCGGGAUAGUUUUUCCUCGCAAUUUUCAUAGCAAGGAGUCUUGACCGAGUGAUUGAAGAAGUCUUCAGGAAAGAAAUCACGCAUCAUGAUGGGGAUGGACGAUCUAUGUGUCGAAAUUUCAUCAUCUUCAACACGUUCACGUUGCUUUGAAGGUUGACAAGAGCUGCUUUGCCCCCUUUCCGAUUGGCGGAUUUGUGGAGGAGGCGUAUACUUCUUGUGCAAUUUCUUAGGAGUGACUUGAGUCCAUCCUUCAACUUUGCUUGUCUUGGAGGAUGCCCCCAACGGUUGAAGUGAAAACUUUGAGUCGGGAGAGCCAAAAGUGAUGGUGGUAUAGUUUGACUCCAACACAUCGUCAAGAUCUAGCUCGAUGAUUCCUUUCUGAGCCAACUUCAUGAUGAGAUCUUUCAGCACGAAGCACUUUUCUGUCGGAUGACUGAUGAAGCGGUGGAAUUUAUAGUAUCUUGGACUGUCGGUACGAUUCAUCUCUUCUGGCCGUCUGCACUCAGGCAAACUGAUCACCUUCUUGUCCAACAGGUCAUCCAGCAUGGCAACCACAUCAGAGUCGGGGAAUGGAUAAGUCUUCCCCUCAAGCUCCUUCAAAGUGUGUCUACGCAUCUCUUGAUCACGAAAAGCUUCAGUUUGAAUCGCCUUGCCUCGUGUAGGGAUUUUGACGGGAGCUGUGUUGACCGUCAUCGCUUCCUUGGUGGGUUUCCAUGCAGCCUUUUCCACCUUUGUCCCAAGAACUUUGUCGUUCUUGUAGUCGGCGAUCGGUUCUUUCUUCCCAUGAUGGGCGAUGCUUAACUCCAUGUCAUGGGCGCGAGUGGCCAAUUCCUCGAAGGUCCGUGGUUUAAUGCCUUGAAGGAUGUAUUGCAAACCCCAUUGCAUGCCUUGGAUGCACAUCUCGAUUGAAGAGGUUUCUGAGAGCCUGUCUUUACAGUCGAGGCUUAGAAUGCGCCAUCUGUUGAUGUAGUCAAUGACUGGCUCGUCAUUCCACUGCUUUGUGCUCGUUAGCUCUAACAUGCUCACAGUGCGGCGGGUGCUAUAGAAGCGGUUGAGGAAUUCCCACUCUAAUUGUUCCCAGCUGUUGAUGGACUCAGGUUCUAGAUCUGUGUACCACUCAAAGACGUUUCCUUUCAGCGAGCGCACAAACUGCUUGGAGAGGUAAUACCCUUCGGUUCUUGCGUUGUUGCAAGUUUCAACGAAGUGGGCAACGUGCUGUUUCGGGUUUCCCUUUCCAUCAAAUUGCAUGAACUUUGGUGGUUGAUAACCCCUCGGCAUCCUUAAGGCGUCGAUCUUCUUUGAAUAUGGCUUUGAGUACAACCCGGAGGUAUUUGAGCUCCCUUCGUACUGUGCCUUGAUGGUGUUGGUGAUCAUCUCCUGCAGCUGCUAGAUAGAAAGAGAUCCCAUGAGUGCCGCCGCUUGGUCUGGCUCCGGCUUCGCAUCGUUUUUCUCCACCUGAGGCUCCUCUUCUUCGUCAUCUCUUCUCUUUAGUGGAUCAUUCUCUGGGUCGGGUUUAUCGCCGUCCUGCGCCUCUAGUCGAUUGACUAGUGCUGCAAUUUGCAAGUCUUUUUCUUCCACAGUUCGGGUUAGCCUUGCGAUCGCUUCAUUCAUUUGAGCCAGUUGUUCUUCGAUAGAGGUAACGCCGAUGGUCAUGACUUGUGCAACCAAUAAACGUGACUUUCCUUUAGACAUCCAGGAUGCUGACGAAUAACGUUGUUGGCUGUUUUGGGGUGUCAUCUUGUGUGCCUCAGCAGCAUGCUUCGGUGCCCCCAGUGAGGUCAGGUUGAUGACAUACUCACACCUUGGAUGCUCCCCUUGCUCUUUUAGCGGCACCAAUUUUGAAGUGGCAUGUUGAGGAGCGGUUGUGGCGCCAAUGGAUUGUCCGUUUGCGGCAGAAGUGCUUAGGAUCCUUCCCUCAGUGGUUGCAAGAACGGCUUGUCCCUUGCUUGAUGCCAUUGACUUUGAGGUGUGCUUGGAUUCCUUGAACGGAGGAAGAGAUGAGAGGUAGAGAUGUCCCACUGGGCGUGCCAAUUUGUGAACACGGAAAAUUCCUGAAACGAAAGAGACAAGAACAACGUGCACAAACAAAUAUUUGUAUUUGAUGAUUUUGGGUUACAAUCUCUCUCUAAUUUGAUCCUCUGAUUCGAUCUCCGUAAGGUGUUGAUUUGUGGAUAUUUCGUUAAUCCAAGGGCCGUCGAGGCUUGAUCUUGGAUGAACUGUUGGAAGUUUCUUCAAGGGGCCGUGGGGCUUGAUCUUUGAAGGUGGAUUUGAGCGGAUCUUCAAGGAGCCGUUGGGGCUUGAUCUUGAGUAACGGUGAUGAACGGAUCUUCAAGGGCUUUUGGGCUUAAUCUUGAAGAAACAGUGAUGAACAGAUCUUCAAGGGCUUUUGGGCUUAAUCUUGAAGAACGGUUGAAUGUGUGUGGAUUUGUCGACGUUGUUGAUCCAAAGGGCCGUUGGGGCUUGAUCUUGGAUGAACGGAUGAUGAACGAUGGUGCUUUCUUCAAGGGCCGUCGGGGCUUGAUCUUGAAUUGGUGGAAGUUCUUCAAGGGUCGUUGGGGCUUGAUCUUGGAAGAACGAUGAACGAAGAACGAAGAAGGCUUUCUUGAUUCUUCGGGAACCUGGAUGCUUUAGAGCUUCGGAGUUUCAGAGCUUCAGAGCUUCAAGGUGUAAUCUGAAUUCCCUCCCUCAAAUGAAUGAAAUGGGCUUGUAUUUAUAGAAUUUUCCAAGGCCUAAUUUUGAAUAUAAUAUCCCAGAUGAAAUAAGUUGUUUCUGCCAGGUGUUGACACGUGUCCUAUUUGAUGACUUUUCCAACUCAUUUCAAUUUUCGUUGAGUCGCACGCUACGUGUAAAAUUUAUGUAAUACAUGAGCAUUGACACUUUAAUUUAUCGGUCAACAUUUAUUUACCGAAAUUUCGAUGUCUACAAAUAUUUAGCGAGAAACAAAUUUCUGACAUGAAGUAUUGUUUUCGUCGCCCUACAUUUGCAAAAAUUUGCUCUUGAGGUGUAUAAUGUGUUCAAUAGUGAACUUAAUUCUCCAAAGAAGUUGCGCCUUGUCAUUAUUGGAUGAUGGUGAUGACUACGACGAUGACAUGUGGAUCUCGUUCCACUUGAAUACCAUAAAUUGACGCGCAAUCUUAAUGCCCAGAGAAACCCUAUUUAAAAUGGCCUACAGUUAUGAUAGAAGAAGAUACAUAUAAUUCCUUCAAAUUCAAAUAAAGCAAGGAGAUGCUAAACCAUUGGGUUUGAUGGGUUGUACUAAUCUAGUAUAGAUAGGAGGAGUGGACACCAACAAACUUGACGAUCGAGCUAGUAGCCUUUUUGUGACAACCCGUCUCUAAUUUUAUGUUUUUACAAUUUUAAAAGCAUGAUUUUACGAAAAUGCCCUUAGAGGCGAGGGUCUUGAUUUUCGUUGACCAACGUUUAGUGAGAUCUAUGAAAUAUUCCUUUAGCGUAUUCUUGUAGUACUCGACAAUACGGCAGCGUAGGCGCAAGCAGAAGCGGAUUGGAGUAUUGAUAUUAUCAUUUAUUAUUUUAUAUAUUUUCAUAAGUACCAUUAUAUUAUUUUAAGAUUAUCUUUGGUAAGAAAUGAGAGAAGGAGAAGAAGAAACGGAGGGAGAAGGGAAAAAGAAGAAAGGGUGUUGGCUGCCCAAUCAGAGAAGAAAGGAGAGAGUUUCGGCCAAGGGAAGGAAAAGAGAGAGUGAAGGUGACCAACUAGAGAGAAGGAAAGGAAGGGAAAGGAGGGAGGUGUGGAGCACCUAACCCAUCUGGCCCGUACACCCACAGAAACCGGUGGAGGUUUUUGACGAUAUCCAUCAAAUUUUCAAGUGAUUUUCACCCAUUCACCACCACCAAACCUCAUCACCAUAUCUUAACAUCCAAUUCUAGCCAAAAUUGACCCGAAAUGGUGGAGAUUUCAUGAAAAACACCAAUGGGUGCCGCGGGGAACCUUGCUCAUGAUUUACCAAUUGUGAAACCAUCUCCUCCAAUUACCACCACUAGAGCACUCCCCUAGAACCUAGGAACAAAGCCCAAGCAGUGGUGGAGGCGUCAGAGCAAGUUUGGUGGUCGAAUCGAACACACCUAAGUUUAGAGUUCCAGCAGGUUCGAGGUAAAUUGGAGCCUUUCCAAGCCAAAUUAGACUUGGCCACAGGUAUAAAGUUUAUAAAGUUUACUCUACUCUUUGAGAUUUUCAUUCCUGUAAAUUUUGGUAAUUUUUGGAAAUAGUUGGAUUGUUCCAGCGAGUCGGGGCGUGAAGGAAAUUUUGUGAAAAACAUGUUCAUUUGAGCAACAUCUAUGGCAUGCAAUUAACAUUUAAAGGCGGAAUCAUGCUUGUAUGCACUCAAAACAAAUCAUGCUUUUAUACCUUUGUUGAUUUCUCUUUGCAUAAGCAAAGGCUAAUCACCCAAGGAGAGGGCCUUCAUUUCUUGCUUCUUAGCUCCAUGGAUUUCUUGGAUGAGGAUGGUUGAAAGGAUUCUCCAAGUUCCCAAAGUUAAGAACCUCUAAGUAUUUAUACCUUCAUUGGAGUGGCAAACUUCUAAUAAGUCCAAAACCCACUCCUUUAUCAAUAUGGCUAGCCAUAGGGUUUUAUUGGGCUGUUUUGGCCUUUGUGAAUUAUUAGUCAUUAAGUUGUCAUACAACUUAAGUUAAUUGGCUUGACGUUCGAAGCCUAUUGGGCCUUGAGGCCCAAAACUAACCCGAGGUCUUUAACGAACUUUAUUCAUUUGAUUAAUUAACAUAUUAAUUAAUCUUUGCCAUAAAUAAUUAAACCAUUUAAUUAUCCUUACUCAUCUCUGUUGUUUCUUCAAUCUCUACCUUACACGAUGUACGAUCCAUUAGGUUCAUUUUAGCGAGAUAGUGGGCGAUUAGAACUCUUUCAAAUCGAUUGUGAAUUGAAACUUACUUUCAAUUCUCCCUUUAGUGAUUAUACACGUUUAGGGCUUCCACAAACCAUGAGUGACACCUAGCAGUAUGUCAUGGUUACCCAAGCUAAUCAGAAGAGGUGGUGAACCUAUUCAGUUUAGGAUUACAAUGCAAUACGGUCUUUCUCUAAUACAAUACUCUUGACCACAUUGUUUGGUUUGAUAGUUUAUUCAUGUCUACUAUCCAAUGUGAUUCUCUUACUUAUAUGAUUACCUUGAAUGUGAUUUGGAACGAUUUCCUAAAUCUCAUUCAUACUCUGGCCAGAGAUUCUUAAUCAUAUAAUAAAGUAUUCUCCCUCAAACAGUUUGAAGGUUAGAGAUCCCUUGUUGCGCAAUCACUUGCCUCCAUGGCUAAGUGGCUUAACCCCAACUAUGCCGUGGACACCCUCUGACGGAGUGACUUUGACAUAGUCAAAGAUCAAGGACCUAACCACAAGACAACUAUGAUGCCUCAGGUCAAAGGACUACUUUGCAUUAUCCCAACCAUGAGUUCUCAUGUGACAUGAGUAUGAGAACUCCUUGUUGAUCGUGUUCAGUGGACUCAUUCUCUAUUGGGCACCUACAUGCUUGUCUUGGUGUCAGUCACACCAAUGACUCGAGACCAGUCACUCUCCCAAAGAGAAGACAUAACACAUACUGAUCUUAACGGACUGUCAAUGCCCAAUUGGUAAUCCUAUGAUCAGGAACGUUUAGGAUAUGUAUACGAAAGAGAAUGGUCUCAUGAAUCUAACUUCUUUAGAUCGCAUUCUCCCAAUUACAUAUUCCUUGGACUUAUCGUUUAAGUGUAUAACAUUUAUAUGAGACAGCUUCAAACAAUAAUCUUUGCCCUUUAAAUUAAACUAUAUUAGUUUAACAUGUGAAAUGUCCGUAAAGUAUCAUCAUAUGAUUGGUUUUAGGGCACAUUUCCAACAAUCUCCCACUUGCACUAGAGCCAAUCAGUUUGGUCAUCAAUGAUGAUACCUUUUCUGUGUCAUUUCAAAAUGGCUGAGUAGUAGGCCUAGACAAUGGAUAUCUAUAUGUUAUCCAUAGAAGCAACCUUGAGAAUAACGACGUCACCAUUAUACAUGAUUCUUAAUCAUGUGGUUUAGUCUCUAAUUUGAGUUCGGAUCAUGAUGAGACCUUGAUUCCCUGGCUUGAGCUAUCGCCCCAUUAGUGUCAUAGUGUCGGUACACUAGAGACACUUUCUGGUUAGAACCGAAUAUAGAGUUCAUGAAUGAACUUUCUCAUCCAAACAACAUUGUUGUAAGCUUCUAUAUGGCAAUAUAUUUUGCAUUCACAAUGGAUCACACUAAGGUUAUUACUUCCAAUGUUUCCAUCCAAAUAUCUCUUUAGUCAUAAUAAAGAGAUAUCUAAUUAUCUCUUCAUUCAUAAUGAAGAAACAUCCAAUGAUGGAUUAGAUUCAUAAUCUAAUACAUUUACGCUUCCAUUACGUUACUCUAAUUCUUCCUCAUUCUUUGAGGAAUAUAUCCUUUAGUAUUUCUUAAAUACUUAAGGACUCACUUGAUAGUUGCCAUAGUUCUGAUCCUGGGCUUGCACUGAUAUCGUCUUGUACCGUUCUAGGUACAACUCAUAUCAAUGUUUUUCAUACAAUAUGAAACAUGUAAAUCACCUUUUUGCGUAUGCAUAAAGGAUUCUAUUUACACAUUAUGUUUCUUUGGGAGUCAAAGGGUACGUUCCCUUUAAAAAGAGCUACCUCCUAGUCUCACUAGAGUUGUUCUUCUGAUUGAAGUUUAUCAUCAUAUGAGAAACUUCCUAGCAUCUUUUGUCUAUCAUUAGGGCUGGAUAUAAUCCAAUUAUAUCCUGAAAUCUAUCAUUAUAGAUUUGCAUCCCAUGUUUAUAGACUAUGUCUCCCAUAUACAUUCUAUCGUUAUAGAAUGUUUAAAGUCAUAACUUUAACGAAGAAGUAUUCUUUUCAUUUCCAAAAUUUAAUAUAUCAUACAUGUAUAUAUUAUAUUCAAAUUUAGGAACAUGACUAACUCCCACUAAUCUUUUGUAAACCUAGUAAACAAAAGAUUCAUUUACAUCUUUAUGAGAAAUCAAACGAUUUGAUCUUUCUCUCAUAAGACGUUUGUAGCUCCCACUAGCUUGCUAAGAUUCAUGAUGGAUGGAUCUCUACAACUUACAUGUCUUGUGAUUCAUAGUUUCAGACAUAUAUUAUCAAGACUAUCUUAAUAAUGGUUUCGGAAACCCAUAUUAUGUCCAAACAUUGAAUCACCAUUUAGUUGUAGCUAGCAAUCUUUGAAUUAAUUGAAACCAAGACUAUGUCAAAGAUGGCUUCUUCCAAGUCAACCAUUCUCUUUGAUUUUAGUCACCUUCAGCUACCAAUUAGCUAUGAAGGUUUCAUUAUUUCGGGUCAAAUGGUACUUUACCAUUUCCUUAAGUAUAUGUCAUAUAUACACUCAAUGUAGUCAUAAGGAUUCUUAUUUCUUUCAAAUUAAGAGGUGUAACUCUAUGACAUAGUCAUAAAGUUCAAACCAUUCAACUGAGACAACUUAUAAAUCCUUCUCGACUACCUUGGAGCUUGUGGUGUAGGAACUAGGUUGUUAUAUUUGUUGAUUAUCAUCUUGUCUCUAAAAGAACCCAUUCUUUGAGUUCUAUCUCUUGUUCAUUUGCGCUUAGGCAAAUCAUAUUGUAGGAUUACAAUGAACUACCCAACAAAACAACAUUUGUUAGUUGGUUUAUAGAAGUGAUAUCCAAAGGUUAAUUUAAGGAUAUCCACAAGAUAAUUCUCAAACAAAUAUUGCUUAUUAGCACAUAACCUCAAAUCUUAACACGAUUAAGACUUAUCUUUCUUUCCAACUACAUCCUAUGGAGUCAUGAAAAUUUUGGAAGAUCUUCUAAUUUUCAAUCAUAUUGUCUUAGAAGUAUAUAUCCUAUAUAUGGGUAAUUGAUAACAUCCAACAAACUAAAUCUUAUUCAAGUUCGUUCUUCACCUAAUCGAGAAAUCCAUUAUCUUAUGAUGCUUCUUUCCUUGAUAUCUUUCAAGGAAACUGUUGUAAAGUGUUACCUUUCCUUGGAUCAAAUCUAAGGAGGUAAAUACUUUAGACGUCUUACUCAUCAACUUACAUUCUUGAAUUCUUUGAAACCUUUUGCAAAGUAUUCGGACUUGUGUUUAUUCAAAAUAAAUGAUAGUCUAACCGAGAGCGAUCUUCGGUGAAUGUCAUACAACAUGAGUAGUAUUAUGUUGUGGACAAGUGCCACUAACAUCUAAGUGAAUUAACCUCAACAACUUUGUGAUUCUUUCUUCCUUUCCAAAAGAAUAAAGAUUCAAACAUUUUGCCUCUAUACAAUUUUAACAAAAAGGCAUUGGAUCCGGAUCUAACGAUCCAAAGCAUCCAUCUAUGACCAACUCGUAAUUUAUGUUUUAGAGGUAUCACAACUCAGUUGGGAGUAGUCACUACCUUGCAACCUUUUGGGUUUUAAGCAUCGUUAUAUUCUAAACAGUUAACACUACCAUAUCAUCUCUACUAUAGAGAUAAUCAAUUAGAUUACAAUAAUCUAAUCAUUCAUUAAUAAAGAACAAUGUUUUGUCAAACAAAACAUUUAUCCAUUUCUCAUACGGAAUUAAGUUCCUUUAUUUAAAUUGGAAUGUAAAGACAAUCUUUAUUUUUCCAUUUUCUUUGGUAGUUCACAUGAGAAAGUAAGUACUACCUGCUUUCGCAGAGAUCUACAUUUGAUUCAUGUUCCGAAUGUGAAGUACUUUCUCUUCUCUCAUUAAUCUUCUACUUCUUAUUAGCCACACUUUUACAACGAUUGUAAAACAUAGUUACUAAUACGGAAUCAAGCAUUCAAGUAGAAGAACCAACUAUUUUGAACUAUUCAAGAACAAUUUACAACACCUUCAAAAGGUGUGUUCUUGACACUUGCAAGAGAUUUCUUGCAAAUACCCCUUCCAAUGUCCAUCCUUUCAUAAAGAAAGUUUGUUCCCUUGGAGUUAUUUCGCCUU
Molecule: long non-coding RNA, 76890 nt
Filed under: Malus domestica (apple)
Lineage: Eukaryota; Viridiplantae; Streptophyta; Magnoliopsida; Rosales; Rosaceae
Description: long non-coding RNA (MDOM_LNC000167)
Source: RNAcentral